UUUUUUUGUAGUGGUAGGAUGUUGGAGAGUAGUAAUGCGUAAAGAUAGUACUUGAUAUUUUGCCCCGUGGUAGAUUUGAUCGACCGUAGUACCGCUUUCUUGAUGCGGUAGUACUCAGAUCCAGUGGCAGUUUUGGAUCUGACUCCGCGCAGUACUACCGCGCCUCCCGUGCGGAACUACCUCCGGAGCGGUACUACCGUGACUUGGAGCGGCACUAAUUUUUUAGUUCCGCGCGACCAAGCAGUGCUACCGUUUGUGUCAAAUCUCUCAUGUGGAAAUUAUCAAGUGCGAGUUCUACUUGUUUCCAUGCUUUGUUGUGUUUUUGCACUAAACCUUCUCGCGUAUCUUGCGUGUUUGCUUUGUGGUGUGUGGCUCAGGUGCUUCUGCUCGCCGUUCCAAUCCAAGCUGUGACACGGGCUCCAAGCGUCUGCGCAAUCAAGAUGAAGCUCCUGAGGGCUCUAGUGCCCCCCAACAUAGGACCAAGACCACCGCCACAAAGGACAACGAACCCAACAUGGGUAUGGAUGAGAUACCACUUGCUGAGUUCGUCUCUCGACGGAAGAUCAAUCCCUAUGUGAAUCCUCGUGCCAACUUUCGAGGGAAUGAGUUGUUCUGAACCAAGCAGCAGAAUCUCAUUUAUCUGGAUGUAAUCAAGUCCAAGCGUAACAUCUAUGUGGAUGUGCACUGGAUCAACAUGCAUCACAUGAGGGAAGAGAAGUACCGGGACUACUUCGGUGAGGCUCUAGAUCUUAUUGAGCAGUUUGGCAUUGAGCAUAUCAUCUCUUUUCACAAAGACUAUGAUCCUGAGAUUGUGGCUCAGUUCUUUGCCUCGGUGUACUUUCAUCCUAAUGAGGACCGGACUAUGACUUGGAUGACCAAUGGUCGGCAGCUGACUGCUACAUGGAAGGAGUUCAUGACUUUGCUUGGUGUUCCAGAUGAGGGGCUCGCCACACCCCAAGGUGUUCGUCCUCAUGCCAAUCCAGAGUCAGCCAACAAGAAUAAGCUUCAGCCCUUCUUUGUUGAGAAGAAGCUCUCCAGUGGCAAGUCAUCUUGGGUGCUCAACUCAUUCUUGGACAUCAUAUACCGGAUCUUCCGCAACUCCCUCUUCCCGUGCAUUGGUGACAAGGACAAGGUGCAUGCUUACCUUGUGGACAUGCUGCUCCAGUGUGAGGAAGCGCGCAACUCUCAGACGCUACCACUUGAUAUCUCACAUAUCAUGUGGUGUGAGCUUCGGUUUGUGGUCUUCAACCGCAAGGUCCCCAUCUAUGGACCUUAUCUAUUUCAGUUGAUCUCAGCUACUUGGGAGAAGCUCUACCCUCAGGAUGACUUUGAGGCCCCUGAUUGGAUUCGACAUGAGUCCAUCUGGUUCCGUGUCAAGACUCAGUGGGAUAACACCACUUCUCGUGCUGAGGCAGCGGCUGCCAUGGAUGUGGAUGCAGAUGAAGAUGAGGAGGGGUUAGCAGACAAGGACAACUCUGAGGGUUUCAUCCCUCCCAGCUCUGAACCAUCUUGGGCUAAGAGGCUGAAGAACAAUAUGAAGACCUUAUUCUGCAUGCAGGCAGGCAGUACAAGAAUCACGUUGCCUCCAAGGAGAGUCGCCGCCGCAACAAGAAGAUUAUGAGCCUCUUUGAAGAGGAUGUUUCUGGCGGCUUUGAGGACCGCAUCACUCCAGAGGCCGAGUGGAUCGCAAAACAAGGCUACCAGUGGACUGAUUCUGAGGAGGAUGACGAGGAGACCAUUCCCGCUGCCGAGUCUGAGGAGGAGCUUGCGUCUGAUUACUCCACGUGAGCCACCACUUGUGUUGUAGGUGUCCUCUCUGCCUUUUUGGCAUCUCGAUGCUAAAGGGGGAGAGAGUGUAGGGAUUUGCGAGUCCUGUGUCAUGCGUGUGUUUGCUUUGCUCGCGUUUGUUCUGUUGAACCCUGCUUGCUUUGGUUUAGUUUGCUCGUGAGACUUGGUCUAUCAUAUGGUGUAAGACAUAUGCACCCUAUCGUACCUUACUUGAGCUUAUGUUAUACUGUGCUAGUUAUGUUAUGCUCAUAUUUAUCAUAUUGUCUAGUGUUAGCCUUAUUGUUGCCAAUAUGCCUUGUUUACAAAAUAUAGGGGGAGUGUUGAUCCUAGUAUAAGUGCUGUGCAGUCCAAAGCACUUAUCUAGAUAGCACACAUCUAGGGGGAGCUCGUCUAUAUUUGGAGUUGCGGGGUUUGCAUAUGUUCUAUAUUCUUUCCCUUUGUGCAAAUCCCGUAUUGUCAUCAAUCCACCAAAAAGGGGGAGAUUUAAGGGCAUAUUUAUCCCUAAGGUGUUUUGGUGAUUGAUGACAAUGCUUUUGCGGACUAAUCGUGUGCCUUGAGUUUCUCAGACAAUUCGUCACUAGGCACAAGACAGUUUAGUGCCCCUUGAAGACUAUUGAAGACGGCGUUUUCUACGGUUCUUUUCGGCGGUGUGAGUCGUAGGAAAGCCAUACUAUUAAGAGGGGGUCCGCGUUGGAAAGGUUCGGGUGGAAUCAUCACGUACACAUUUUUAUUCCUUUACACCGCCUUUCCCUCUAUGCUUUGGAGCAUCCUCCGUUUUCUUCAUUUUUGCAAAAAGAAGGAUUCCGAGUGUUGUUGUUCUGAGGCAUGCGGUAGUACUGCUCUUAGGAGCGGUAGUACCACAGGCCCCCGCGUGUACCACCCGCCAUUGCGGUAGUACCGUAUGUGUUCAUGGUAGUACCGCUCUUAAGGAGCGGUAGUACUGUGGCCUCGGACCAGACCCAGCCGCUCGUGCGGCUGUAGAGCCAGAUGUAAUUUUUUUACAUCCGCGCCCUUGCGUGGUAGUACCGCCCCAUGCGCACGGUAGUACCGUGGGUCCUGAUCUAGCAUAGCAACACGAGCGGAAGUAGGGGCGGAUGUAAUUUUUCACAUCCGCUCCGUGCGCGGUAGUACCGCAUGUCAGGUGCGGUAGUACCGUGUCGGAUUUUUGCACAAUUUGAUUUUCAGCAGAAGUAGGCACAGAUGUAUUUUUAUUCAUCCGCGCCCUUCCCAGGCUAGUCCAUUCCAGGCUUGCAGUAGUACCUCAAGGGGGAGCGGUAGUACCACACCAGUGGCAGUACCGCUCUCAGCCCUUGCGGGUCUGGCCUGGACUAACGCCUGCCGUAGCAGCGGUAGUACCGCGGGCCACCGCGGUAGUACCGUGAGCCCUUGCGGUAGUACCGCUUGUCUGGGGCGGUAGUACCGCAAGUCACGGGCUGGCUAAGUGGAUAACGGUUGGACUUGUAUCUUCACUGUAUAAGGGGUGUCUUCUUCCUCUAGUUGACCACCUCUUCCCCCAAAAGCUCCAUUGGUGCUCCAAGCUCCAUUUUCGCCCGAUCUCUCUCCCUAGUCAAUAAAACUUGUUGAUUUGCUCGGGAUUGGUUAAGAAGGCCCCGAUCCACACUUCGACAAAGAUAAAUUUGAUUCCCCCACUAAUCCCUAGCGGAUCUUGUUACUCUUGGGUGUUUGAGCACCCUAGACAGUUGAGGUCACCGCGGAGCCAUAGUCCAUUGUGGUGAAGCUUCGUGGUGUCGUUGGGAGCCUCAAAUUAAGUUAUGGAGAUAGCCCCAACCAUGUUUGUAAAGGUUCAGUCACCGUCUUCAAGGGCACCAAUAGUGGAAUCAUGGCAUCUCACAUUGUGUGAGGGCGUGAGGAGAAUACUAUGGCCCUAGUGGCUUCUUGGGGAGCAUUGUGCCUCCACACCGCUCUAACGGAGACCUACUUCCCCUCAAAAGGAAGGAACUUCGGUAACACAUCCUCGUCUCCAACGGCUCCACUCUUGGUUAUCUCGUGCCUUUACUUGUGCAAGCUUUUUUUGUGUUGUAUCCCUUGCUUGCUUGUUGAUACGUCCAUUUAGCAUCAUGCUUUUAUAUCAAUAUUUAUUGCAUUAUGGGCUGUUAUUACACAUUAUAUCUCAAUACUUAUGGCUAUUCUCUCUUAUUUUACAAGGUUUACCAUGAAGAGGGGGAAUGCCGGCAGCUGGAAUUCUGGCUGGAAAAGGAGCAAACAUUGGAAACCUAUUCUGCAUAGCUCCAAAAGUCCUGAAACUCCACGAAACAACUUUUUGGAAUUAAUAAGAAUUUCUAAGCGAAAGAAAUACACCAGGGGGACCACACCCUGUCCAGGAGACAGGGCCCCCCCCUAUAGGGCGCGCCCCCUAUCACCUGGGCCCCCUGGUGGGCCUCCGGUGUCCAUCUUCUGCAAUACCAUCGCUUUUACCCUGGAAAAAAUCAUGGGCAAGCUUACGGGACGAAACUCCGCCGCCACGAGGCGGAACCUUGGCGGAACCAAUCUAGGGCUCUAGCGGAGCUGUUCUGCCGGGGACACUUCCCUUCGGAAGGGGGAAAUCAACACCAACGUCAUCACCAACGAUCCUCUCAUCGGGAGGAGGUCAAUCUCUCCAUCAACAUCUUCACCAGCACCAUCUCCUCUCAAAACCCUAGUUCAUCUCUUGUAUCCAGUCUUGUAUCAAAACCACAAAUUGGUACCUGUGGGUUGCCAGUAGUGUUGAUUACUCCUUGUAGUUGAUACUAAUUGGUUUACUUGGUGGAAGAUCAUAUGUUCAGAUCCUUUAUGCAUAUUAUUACUCCUCUGAUUAUGAACAUGAAUAUGCUUUGUGAGUAGUUACCUUUGUUCCUGAGGACAUGGGUGACUUCUUGCUAUUAGUAGUCAUGUGAGUUUGGUAUUCGUUCGAUAUUUUGAUGAGAUGUAUGUUGUCUUUUCCUCUAGUGGUGUUAUGUGAACGUCGACUACAUGACACUUCACCAUGAUUUGGGCCUAGAGGAAGGCCUGGGGAAGUAAUAAGUAGAUGAUGGGUUUCUAAAGUGACAGAAGCUUAAACCCUAGUUUAUGCGUUGCUUCGUUAGGGGCUGAUAUGGAUCCAAGUGUUUAAUGUUGUGGUUAGGUUUACCUUAAUACUUCUUUUGUAGUUGCGGACGCUUGCAAUAGGGGUUAAUCAUUAGUGGGAUGCUUGUCCAAGUAAGGGCAGUACCCAAGUACCGGUCCACCCACAUAUCAAAUUAUCAAAGUACGAACGCGAAUCAUAUGAACGUGAUGAAAACUAGCUUGACGAUAAUUCCCAUGUGUCCUCGGGAGCUCCUUUCUCAUUAUUAGAAUUUGUCCAGGCUUAUCCUUUGCUACAUAAAGGAUUGGUCCACCUUGCUGCACUUUACUUAUUUUAUUUACUUGUUACUUGUUACCAUUUAUCUUAUCGCAAAACUAUCUAUCACCUACAAUUUCAGUGCUUGCAGAGAAAACCUUACUAAAAACUGCUUAUCAUUUCCUUCUGCUCCUUGUUGGGUUCGACACUCUUACUUAUUGAAAGGACUAUGAUUGAUCCCCUACACUUGUGGGUCAUCAAGACUCUUUUCUGGCACCAUUGUCGGGGAGUGUAGCGCUUUUGGUGAGUGGAACUUGGUAAGGAAACAUUUAUAUAGUGUGCUGAAAUUUUCUGUUACUUGUCACUAUGGAAACUAAUCCUUUGAGGGGCUUGUUUGGGGUAUCUUCACCCCAACCGAAAGAGCAAAGAGUUGCUCCUCAACCUACUGAACUUUAUGAAAAUAUUUAUUUUGAGAUUCCUUCGGGUAUGAUAGAGAAACUGCUAGCUAAUCCAUUUGCAGGAGACGGAACAUUGCAUCCUGAUUUACACCUUAUCUUUGUGGAUGAAGUUUGUGGAUUAUUUAAGCUUGCAAGUAUUCCCGAUGAUGUUGUCAAAAGGAAGGUCUUCCCUUUAUCUUUGAAGGGAGAUGCAUCGACAUGGUAUAGGCUAUGUGAUGAUACAAGAUCUUGGAAUUAUAAGCGAUUGAAGUUGGAAUUUCACCAGAAGUUCUAUCCUAUGCAUCUUGUUCAUCGUGAUCGUAAUUACAUAUAUAAUUUCUGGCCUCGUGAAGGAGAAAGCAUCUCUCAAGCUUGGGGGAGGCUUAAGUCAAUGUUAUAUUAAUGCCCCAAUCAUGAGCUCUCUCGGCAAAUGAUUAUUCAGAACUUUUAUGCUCGGCUUUCUCUUGAUAAUCGCAACCUGCUCGAUACUUCCUGUGCUGGUUCUUAUAUGCUGAAGACUAUUGAUUUUAAAUGGGACUUAUUGGAAAGAAUUAAACGCAACUCUGAAGACUGGGGUUCCGACGAUGGUAAAGAGUCAGGUAUGACACCUAAGUUCGAUUGUGUUAAAUAUUUUAUGGAUACCGAUGCUUUUCGUGGAUUUAGCGCUAAGUAUGGACUUGACUCUAAGAUAGUAGCUACUUUCUGUGAAUCUUUUGCUACUCACAUUGAUCUCCCUAAAGAGAAGUGGUUUAAAUAUAAUCCUCCUGUUGAAGUGAAAGUAGUUGCACCUAUUACAGUCGAAGAAAAGACUAUUACCUAUAGUGAUCCUAUUGUUCCUACUGCUUAUGUUGAAAAACCUCCUUUUCCUGUUAGGAUAAAGGAUCAUGCUAAAGCUUCAACUGUUGUUCGUAAGAGUAAUACUAGGACUUUAUACACCUCUUGAGCAAAUUAAUGUUGAACCUAGUAUUGCUAUGGUUAAAGAUCUCUUGGAUGAGGAUUUAGGUGGGCAUGUUAUUUCUUUCUCUGGUGAGUCUGCUAAUAUUGCUAGGCCAGAUACUAAGACACGUAGACCUAUCAUAGGCAUGCCUGUUAUUUCUGUUAAAAUAGGAGAUCAUUGUUAUCACGGCUUAUGUGAUAUGGGUGCUAGUGCUAGUGCAAUACCUUAUUCUUUAUAUCAAGAAAUUAUGCAUGACAUUGCACCCAUUGAAUUAGAAGACAUUGAUGUUACUAUUAAGCUUGCUAAUAGGGAUACCAUUAAACCCUUUGGGAUUGUUAGAGAUGUUGAAGUUUUGUGUGGGAAGGUUAAAUACCCUGCUGAUUUCCUUGUUCUUGGUUCCCCACAAGAUGAUUUUUGUCCCAUUAUUUUUGGUAGACCCUUCUUGAAUACAGCUAGUGCUAAGAUUAAUUGUAAAAAGAAUAUUGUCACUGUUGGCAUAGAUGGUAUGUCUCAUGAGUUUAAUUUCGCUAAGUUUAGUAGACAACCUCGUGAAAGGGAACCACCUAGUAAGGAUGAAAUUAUUGGUCUUGCUUCCAUUGUUGUUCCUCCAACUGAUCCGUUAGAACAAUAUUUGCUAGACCAUGAAAACGAUAUGUUUAUGAAGGAAAGAAGGGAAAUAGAUGAAGUGUUCCUUAAAUAGGAACCUAUGCUGAAACAUAACCUUCCCAUUGAAAUUCUUGGGGAUCCCCCUCCACCCAAGGGUGAUCCCGUGUUUGAACUCAAACCUUUACCUGACAAUCUUAAGUAUGCUUAUCUUGAUGAAAAAGAAAUAUAUCAUGUUAUUAUUAGUGCUAACCUUUCAGAGAAAGAAGAAGAAAGAUUAUUGAAAACUCCGAAGAAGCACCGAGCUCCUAUUGGAUAUACUUUGGAUGAUCUUAAGGGCGUCAGUCCCACGUUAUGCCAACACAAAGUUACAUUGGAGGACGAUGCCAAACCAGUUAGAGAUCCUCAAAGACGACUAAACCCCAAGAUGAAAGAAGUGGUAAGAAAGGAGAUACUAAAGCUCCUUGAGGCAUGUAUUGUUUAUCCCGUUGCUGAUAGUGAAUGGGUAAGCCCUGUCCAUUGUGUCCCUAAAAAGGGAGGUAUUACCGUUAUUCCUAAUGAUAAAGAUGAAUUGAUCCCGCAAAGAAUUAUUAUAGGUUGUAGGAUGGUAAUUGAUUUCCGUAAGUUAAAUAAAGCUACUAAGAAAGAUCAUUACCCCUUACCUUUUAUUGAUCAAAUGCUAGAAAGACUAUCCAAACACACACAUUUCUGCUUCCUAGAUGGUUAUUCUGGUUUCUCCCAGAUACCUGUGUCAGCGAAGGAUCAAUCAAAAACUACUUUUACCUGCCCUUUUGGUACUUUUUCUUAUAGACGUAUGCCUUUUGGUUUAUGUAAUGCACCUUCUACCCUUCAAAGAUGCAUGAUGGCUAUAAUCUCUGAUUUUUGUGAAAAGAAUUGUGAGUUAUUCAAGGAUGAUUUCUCAGUUUAUGGAUCCUCUUUUGAUGAUUGUUUGAGCAACCUUGAUCGAGUUUUGUGAUACAUCUCCAAUGUAUCUAUAAUUUAUGAAGCAUUCAUGCUAUUUAAUUAUAUGUUUUGAAUGAUUACGGGCUUUAUUUUACACUUUUAUAUUACUUUUGGGACUAACCAAUUAACCGGAGGCCCAGCCCAUAUUGUUGUUUUAUUGCCUGUUUCAGUACUUCGAAGAAAAGUAAUAUCAAACGGAGUCCAAAUGGAAUGAAACCUAUGGCAGCGUUAAUUUUGGGAAGAAUAACACCAAGGAGAGUUGGAGUUCACUUCAGAAGAGCCUCGAGGAGGCCACGAGAUAGGAGGGCGCCCCCCUACUGGGUGUGCCCCCCUGUCUCGUGGGCCCCUCGAGCACCCCCGACCGACUUCUUUCGCCUAUAUAAUCCUACGUACUCUAAAACCAUCGAAAAUCAAGAUAGAUCGGGAGUUCCGCCGCCGCAAGCCUCUGUAGCCACCAAAAACCUCUCGGGAGCCCGUUCCGGCACCCUGCCCUAGGGGGAACCCAUCACCGGUGGCCAUCUUCAUCAUCCCGGUGCUCUCCAUGACGAGAAGGGAGUAGUUCACCCUCAGGGCUGAGGGUAUGUACCAGUAGCUAUGUGUUUGAUCUCUCUCUCUCGUGUUCUCUCUAUGGCACGAUCCUGAUGUAUCGCGAGCUUUGCUAUUAUAGUUGGAUCUUAUGAUGUUUCUCCCCCUCUACUCUCUUGUAAUGAAUUGAGUUUCCCCUUUGAAGUUAUCUUAUCGGAUUGAGUCUUUGAUUUGAGAACACUUGAUGUAUGUCUUGCUGUGUUUAUCUGUGGUGACAAUGGGAUAUCACAUGCCACUUGAUGUAUGUUUUGGUGACCAACUUGCGAGUUCCGCCCAUGAACCUAUGCAUAGGGGCUGGCACACAUUUUCUUGACUCUCUGGUAGAAACUUUGGGGCACUCUUUGAUGUACUUUGUGUUGGUUGGAUGAAUCUGAGAUUGUGUGAUGCAUAUCGUAUAAUCAUGCCCACGGAUACUUGAGGUGACAAUGGAGUAUCUAGGUGACAUUAGGGUUUUGGUUGAUUUGUGUCUUAAGGUGUUAUUCUAGUAUGAACUCUUUAAUAGAUCGAUCCGAAAGAAUAACUUUGAGGUGGUUUCGUACCCUACCAUAAUUUCUAUGUUUGUUCUCCACUAUUAGUGGCUUUGGAGUGACUCUUUGUUGCAUGUUUAGGGCUUGUUAUAUGAUCUAUAUAUGUUAUUAUUGUUGAGAUAACUUGCACUAGUGAAAGUAUGAACCUUAGGCCUUGUUUCCUAUCAUUGCAAUACCGUUUGUGCUCACUUUUAUCAUUAGUUACCUUGCUAUUUUUAUAAUUUCAGAUUACAAAAACCUUUAUCUAUCAUCCAUAUUGCACUUGUAUCACCAUCUCUUUGCUGAACUAGUGCACCUAUACAGUUUACCAUUGUAUUGGGUGUGUUGGGGACACAAGAGACUCUUUGUUAUUUUGUUGCAGGGUUGUUUGAGAGAUACCAUCUUCAUCCUACGCCUCCUACGGAUUGACAAACCUUAGGUCAUCCACUUGAGGGAAAUUUGCUACUGUCCUACAAACAUGUGCACUUGCAGGCCCAACAACGUCUACAAGAAGAAGGCUGUGUAGUAGACAUCAAGCUCUUUUCUGGCGCCGUUGCUGGGGAUGUGAGUGCUUGAAGGUAUAUCUUUAGAUCUUGCAAUCGAAUCUUUUUGUUUCUUGUUUUAUCACUAGUUUAGUUUAUAAAUGAAAACUACAAAAAAAUGGAGUUGAGUUUGUCUCAUACGCUUCGUCCUUUUAAUAUCUUUCGUGAGUAUGAUGAAAAGGAAAAUUGUGCUCAAGUGCUAGAAGAAGAAUGCAUUAAAAUGUUUGGUACUAAAUCUUUGAAUGAUGAGCAUGAUUGAAAUGUUGUUAGUAUGAAUUCCUUGAAUAUCCAUGAUGCUAAUGAUAGGCAAAGCCACAAGCUUGGGGAAGCUAUGUUUGAUGAAUAUGAUAUUUUUAGUCCCCCAAGUUUUGAUGAGCAAAUUUAUUAUGAUGAAAGCAUGCCUCCUAUUUAUGAUGAUUAUAUUGAUGAAAGUGGGUUUGGAAGAGUGCCAACUUUAGGAAGUAGUAAUCCCACUAUUUUGGAGGAUGUUGAAUCUUAUUGUGAUGAACAUGAAAGUGGAUUUGGAAGAGUGUCAACUUUAUUUAGUGAUGAUUCCACUAUUUCGGAAGAGGUUCCAAUUGAUUAUGAGAACAAAGUUGCUAUCUAUGAUGAUUAUUGUGAUGACUUGUAUGCUAUUAGGAAUAAUGAUAACCAUGAAACUUGUCAUCAUGAUUUUAGUUUUCAAUUUAAUUAUGCCUCACAUGAUAAUUGCUUUGUUGAGUUUGCUCCCACUACUAUUCAUGAGAAGAAUUUUGCUUAUGAGGAGAGUAGUAAAUUUUCUAUGCAAGUAGAUCAUGAAAAGAAUACUUUAGGUGGUGGUUAUAUUGUUGGAUUCAUUCAUGAUGCUACUGAAAUUUAUUAUGAGAGAGGAACAUAUGCUUGUAGGAAUUGCAAUAAUGUCAAGUUUCCUAUCUAUGUGUUGAAAUUUUUGAAGUUAUGCUUGUUUUGCCUUCCUAUGCUAGUUGAUUAUUGUUCCCAUAAGUUGUUUGCUCACAAAAUCCCUAUGCAUAAGAAGUGGGUUAGGCUUAAAUGUGAUAAUCAUAUGCUUCAUGAUGCUCCCAUUAUGUUUCAAUUCUUAUCUUUGAUGUGAGCAUCAUUGUCAUCAUCAUGCCUAGCUAGAAAGGCAUUAAAGAAAAGCGCUUGUUGGGAGGCAACCCAAAUUUAUUUUUGUUCCUUGAUUUUUGUUCCUGUUUAGUAAUAAAUAAUUCAUCUAGCCUCUGGUUAUAUGUGGUUUCAUGUUUUAAUUAGUGCUUGUGCCAAGUAGAACCUUUGGGAAGACUUGGGUGAAGUCCUUAUGAUCUUGCUGUAAAAAAACAGAAACUUUAGCGCUCACGAGAAUAGCUGCCAUGUUUUACUGAAGAAUGAUUUUAGGUUGAUUCUUUUUGAAGAUGAUUAAUAGACAAAUUCCUCAGGUACAUCAAUUUAUUUCAGAAUUAUUUGAGUUCCAGAAGUAUACGUUUGAUACAGAUUACUAGAGACUGUUCUGUUUUUAACAGAUUCUGUUUUCUAUGUGUUGUUUGCUUAUUUUGAUGCAUCUAUGGCUAGUAUUAAGUGGUAUGAACCAUAGAUAAGUUGGAGUACAGUAGAUAUUACACCAAUAUGAAUUUAUAAUGAGUUCAUUACAGUACCUAAGUGGUGGUUUUAUUUUCUUAUACUAACGGAGCUUACGAGUUUUGUUUUGAGUUUUGUGUGGCUGAAGUUUUCAAGUUUUGGGUAAAGAUUCGAUGGACUAUAGAAUAAGGAGUGGCAAGAUCCUAAGCUCGGGGAUGCCCACAGAACUCCAAGGUAAUAUUCAAGGAAAACUAAGAGCCUAAGCUUGGGGAUUCCCCAGAAGGCAUCCCCUCUUUCGUCCUCGUUCAUCGGUAACCUUACUUGGAGCUAUAUUUUUAUUCACCACAUGAUAUGUGUUUUGCUUCGAGCGUUAUUUUCUUUUGUUAGUAUUUGCUUGAUGUUAUUUAGAAUAAUGUUUUUCACCUUUAGUUUCAACAAAAAUGUCAAGGAUAGCCUUUGCCAUGCUUAUUUUGCUAGUAUACAUGUUGCUGUUUGAAAACAGAAAGUUUACCGCUGUUGCAAAAAUUCCCUAGAAAAGUCAGGGAAUGGUAUAAUGUUGAAUCUUUUUGAAUAUUAAGAUCUGAUAAAUUUAUUACAGUGGGAAUUUUCUCUCAUAAUUUUUGGAGUCAGGUAAGUAUUGAUACUCUUGCAUUCUUUACAGACUGUACUGUUUUGGCAGAUUGCUUUUAUGGUUGCAUUGUUUGCAUAUGUUUGCUUGUUUAAUGAUUCUAUUUGAGGAUAGGAGUAUUAAAUAUGCAGAGGCAUUUAGUAUGAAAUGUUGAAUAAUAAUUCUAGUGAUUUGUUACAGUAGAAAAUGAUAAGGUUUUGCAUUGGUUUAUACUAACCUAUCUCACGAGUUCUUGUUGAGUUUGUUGUGAAUGAAGCUUUUGAUAAAAAGAGAAACCAUGAUAUGAGAGGAAUUAAGGAGACACAAAAGUUCAAGCUUGGGGAUGCCCAAGGCACCCCAAGAUAAUAUUUCAAGAAGUCUCAAGCAUCUAAGCUUGGGGAUGCCCCGGUAGGCAUCCCACCUUUCUUCUUCAACAAUCAUCGGUUAGUAUCGGUUGAGCCUAUGUUUUUGCUUCUUCACAUGAGUUGUGCUAUCCUUGCAAUGUCAUUUUAUUUUGUUUUGCUUUCUGCUUGAAUACAAUACCAAGAUCUGAAAUUCUUUAAUGAGAGAGAAUCUUCACAUAGUUGCAUAAUUAUUUAGCUACUCAUUGAUCUUCACUUAUAUCUUUUGGGAGUAGUUUGUCAUUUACUCGUGUGCUUCACUUAUAUCCUAUGAGUAAAUUGUUGAAUGAGUUGAUUCUCAUAAAUCUGAAAUUAUAUAUGCCUCAUUUGCUUAUCCCAUGGGGAGUAAUGACUUCACAUCUUAGAAGUAGAGGUUGUAAAUUUAUUGAAGGUUAGCAAGCAUUGUAAUUAGUCAUUUGAACAAUUCAUGAAAGAAUAUUGAAGGAAGAGAGAUUUCACAUAUAAAUAUACUAUCCUAGACAUCUUUUAUAAUUGUGAGCACUCAUUAAGUAUGACAUGCUAAAGUGUUGAUGUUGGACAAGGAAGACAACGUAAUGGGUUAUGUUUUCUCACAUCUCAGUUAAAGUAUAUUUUCAUGGAUCAUUCAAACAUGUUGAGCUUGCCUUUCCCCCUCAUGCUAGCCAAAAAUUCCUAGCACCAAGUAGAGAUACUACUUGUGCUUCCAAAUAUCCUUAAACCCAGUUUUUGCCAUGAGAGUCCACCAUACCUACCUAUGGAUUGAGUAAGAUCCUUCAAGUAAGUUUUCAUCGGUGCAAGCAAUAAAAAUUGCUCUCUAAAUAUGCAUGACUUAUUAGUGCGGAGAAAAUAAGCUUUGUAUGAACUUGUUAUGGAAGCAAUAAAAGUGACGGACUGCAUAAUAAAGGUCCAUAUACAAGGGGAAAUAUAAAGUGACAUUCUUUCGCAUUAAGAUUUUGUGUAUCCAACCCUAAAAGCGCAUGACAACCUCUGCUUCCCUCUGCGAAGGACCUAUCUUUUACUUUAUGCAAGAGUCAAGGUGAUCUUCACCUUUCCCUUUUUCAUUUUAUCCUUUGGCAAGCAAUUUGUGUUAGGGUGAUCCUGAUAUAUAUAUCCAAUUGGAUGUACGUUAGCAUGAACUAUUAUUGUUGACAUCACCCAAAGGUGAAUACAUUUGGAGGCAACAUUAUAAGCCCCUACCUUUCUCUGUGUCUGAUUAAAACUUCAUAACCACAAGUAUUGCGUGAGUGUUAGCACUUGUAGAAGACUAUAUGAUGGUUGAGUAUGUGAAGUUUGCUAAAUCAAAGCUCUGACAUAGACCCUUCCUGAAAAUAGGAUGAAUUGCAAUUGUUUGAUGACUAAGAAUGAAGAUUGCUAGUUUUCAAGAAUGUUUAUGGUCUAUGCUUUGACAUGUGAAUUGCUUGUUACUUUAUCGUGAGAAGUUUUAUGAGAUGAACUACUAUUAUGACAUAUUAUCAUGCUAGAAAAGGUGAAUGAAAUUAUCAUUGGUCAAACUUGUGCACCUUCUAGCAUUCACACUUCAUAAAUUCUUUCUUUAUCAUUUACCUACUCGAGGACGAGUAGGAAUUAAGCUUGGGGAUGCUGAUACAUCUCCAACGUAUCUAUAAUUUACGAAGCAUUCAUGCUAUUUUAUUAUCUGUUUUGAAUGAUUACGGGCUUUAUUUUACACUUUUAUAUUACUUUUGGGACUAACCUAUUAACCGGAGGCCCAGCCCAUAUUGUUGUUUUAUUGCCUGUUUCAGUAUUUUGAAGAAAAGGAAUAUCAAACAGAGUCCAAACGGAAUGAAACCUUCGGCAGUGUUAUUUUUGGGAAGAAUAUCACCCAGGAGACUUGGAGUUCACGUCAGAAGAGCCUCGAGGAGGCCACGAGAUAGGAGGGCGUGCCCCCCUACUGGGCNNNNNNNNNNNNNNNNNNNNNNNNNNNNNNNNNNNNNNNNNNNNNNNNNNNNNNNNNNNNNNNNNNNNNNNNNNNNNNNNNNNNNNNNNNNNNNNNNNNNNNNNNNNNNNNNNNNNNNNNNNNNNNNNNNNNNNNNNNNNNNNNNNNNNNNNNNNNNNNNNNNNNNNNNNNNNNNNNNNNNNNNNNNNNNNNNNNNNNNNNNNNNNNNNNNNNNNNNNNNNNNNNNNNNNNNNNNNNNNNNNNNNNNNNNNNNNNNNNNNNNNNNNNNNNNNNNNNNNNNNNNNNNNNGUACCCUAAAACCAUCGAAAAUCAAGAUAGAUCAGGAGUUCCGCCGCCGCAAGCCUCUAUAGCCACCAAAAACCUCUCGGGAGCCCGUUCCGGCACCCUGCCGGAGGGGGAACCCAUCACCGGUGGCCAUCUUCAUCAUCCCGGCGCUCUCCAUGACGAGGAUGGAGUUGUUCAUCCUCGGGGCUGUGGGUAUGUACCAGUAGCUAUGUGUUUGAUCUCUGUCUUUCUCGUGUUCUCUCUAUGGCACGAUCUUGAUGUAUCGCGAGCUUUGCUAUUAUAGUUGGAUCUUAUGAUGUUUCUCCCCCUCUACUCUCUUGUAAUGAAUUGAGUUUCCCCUUUGAAGUUAUCUUAUCGGAUUGAGUCUUUGAUUUGAGAACACUUGAUGUAUGUCUUGCCGUGUUUAUCUGUGGUGACAAUGGGAUAUCACGUGCCACUUGAUGUAUGUUUUGGUGACCAACUUGCGGGUUCCGCCCAUGAACCUAUGCAUAGGGGUUGGCACACGUUUUCUUGACUCUCCGGUAGAAACUUUGGGGCACUCUUUGAAGUACUUUGUGUUGGUUGGAUGAAUCUGAGAUUGUGUGAUGCAUAACGUAUAAUCAUGCCCACGGAUACUUGAGGUGACAAUGGAGUAUCUAGGUGACAUUGGGGUUUUGGUUGAUUUGUGUCUUAAGGUGUUAUUCUAGUACAAACUCUUUAAUAGAUCGAUCCGAAAGAAUAACUUUGAGGUGGUUUCGUACCCUACCAUAAUCUCUACGUUUGUUCUCUGCUAUUAGUGGCUUUGGAGUGACUCUUUGUUGCAUGUUGAGGGCUUGUUGUAUGAUCUAUCUAUGUUAUUAUUGUUGAGAGAACUUGCACUAGUGAAAGUAUGAACCUUAGGCCUUGUUUCCUAUCAUUGCAAUACCUUUUGUGAUCACUUUUAUCAUUAGUUACCUUGCUGUUUUUAUAAUUUCAGAUUACAAAAACCUUUAUCUAUCAUCCAUAUUGCAAUUGUAUCACCAUCUCUUCGCCGAACUAGUGCACCUGUACAAUUUACCAUUGUAUUGGGUGUGUUGGGGACACAAGAGACUCUUUGUUAUUUGGUUGCAGGGUUGUUUGAGAGAGACCAUCUUCAUCCUACGCCUCCUAUGGAUUGAUAAACCUUAGGUCAUCCACUUGAGGGAAAUUUUCUACUGUCCAACAAACCUGUGCACUUGCAGGCCCAACAACGUCUACAAGAAGAAGGUUGUGUAGUAGACAUCAUUUUGCAGAGAUGCGAAGCCACUAGCCUCGUCCUGAAUUUGGAAAAGUGUCACUUUAUGGUUAAUGAAGGCAUUGUCUUGGGGCACAAGAUCUCUGAGAGAGGUAUUGAAGUUGAUAAAGCCAAAGUUGAUGUUAUUGAAAAGAUGCCAUGUCCCAAGGACAUAAAAGGUAUAAGAAGUUUCCUUGGUCAUGCUGGUUUUUAUAGGAGGUUCAUUAAGGACUUUUCUAAAAUCUCUAGGCCUCUGACUAAUUUAUUGCAAAAAUAUAUUCCUUUUGUCUUUGACGAUGAUUGUGUAGAAGCAUUUGAAACACUUAGGAAACCUUUGAUCACUUCACCUAUUGUUCAGCCACCUGAUUGGAAUUUACCUUUUGAAAUUAUGUGUGAUGCUAGUGAUUAUGCUAUAGGUGUUGUUCUAGGGCAAAGAGCCGAUAAGAAAUUGAAUGUUAUCCAGUAUGCUAGUAAGACUCUUGAUACUGCCCAGAGAAAUUAUGCUACUAUUGAAAAAGAGUUCUUAGCAGUUGUGUUUGCAUGUGAUAAGUUUAGACCUUAUAUUGUUGAUUCCAAAGUUACUAUUCACACUGAUCAUGCUGCUAUUAAAUAUCUUAUGGAAAAGAAAGAUGCUAAGCCUAGACUCAUUAGAUGGGUUCUCUUGCUCCAUGAAUUUGACUUGCAUAUUAUUGAUAGAAAGGGAGCUGAGAACCCCGUUGCAGAUAACUUGUCUAGGUUAGAGAAUGUUCUUGAUGACCCACUGCCGAUUAAUGAUAGCUUUCCUGAUGAACAAUUAGCGGUCGUCGAUGCUUCUUGUACUGCUCCUUGGUAUGCUGAUUAUGCUAAUUACAUUGUUGCUAAAUUUAUACCGCCUAGUUUCACAUACCAGCAAAAGAAAAGGUUCUUUUAUGAUUUAAGACAUUACUUCUGGGAUGAUCCACACCUUUAUAAAGAAGGAGUAGAUGGUGUUAUUAGACGUUGUGUGCCUGAGCAUGAACAGGAAUAGAUCCUACGCGAGUGUCACUCUGAAUCUUAUGGAGGACACCACGCUGGAGAUAGAACUGCACACAAGGUACUACAAUCUGGGUUUUAUUGGCCUACUAUCUUCAAAGAUGCUCGUAAGUUUGUCUUAUCUUGUGAUGAAUGUCAAAGAAUAGGUAACAUUAGUAGACGUCAAGAAAUGCCUAUGAAUUAUUCUCUUGUUAUUGAACCAUUUGAUGUUUGGGGCUUUGAUUAUAUGGGACCUUUUCCUGCCUCUAAUGGUUAUAUACAUAUUUUAGUCGCUGUUGAUUAUGUUACUAAGUGGGUAGAAGCUAUUCCAACUAGUAGUGCUGAUCAUAACACUUCUAUUAAAAUGCUUAAGGAAGUUAUUUUUCUGAGGUUUGGAGUCCCUAGAUAUCUUAUGACUGAUGGUGGUUCACAUUUUAUUCAUGGUGCUUUCCGUAAGAUGCUUGCUAAGUAUGAUGUCAAUCAUAGAAUCGCAUCUCCUUAUCAUCCGCAGUCUAGUGGUCAAGUAGAGUUGAGCAAUAGAGAGCUCAAAUUAAUCGUGCAAAAGACUGUGAAUAGAUCUAGAAAGAAUUGGUCCAAAAAACUUGAUGAUGCAUUAUGGGCCUAUAGAACUACAUACAAAAAUCCUAUGGGUAUAUCUCCAUAUAAGAUGGUCUAUGGAAAAGCGUGUCAUUUACCUCUUGAACUUGAACAUAAGGCAUAUUGGGCUAUUAAAGAGCUCAAUUAUGACUUCAAACUUGCUGGUGAGAAGAGGUUAUUUGAUAUUAGCUCACUGGAUGAAUGGAGAACCCAAGCGUAUGAGAAUGCCAAGCUAUUCAAAGAAAAAGUCAAACGCUAGCAUGAUAAGAGGAUACAAAAACGUGAGUUUAACGUAGGAGACUAUGUAUUAUUAUUCAACUCUCAUUUAAGAUUUUUUGCAGGAAAACUUCUCUCAAAAUGGGAAGGUCCUUACGUUAUCGAGGAGGUCUAUCGUUCUGGUGCCAUAAAAAUCAACAACUUCGAAGGCACGAGUCCAAGGGUGGUAAACGUCAAAAAUUAAACAUUAUAUUUCAGGUAAUCCUAUCAAUGUUGAAACUAAUAUUAUUGAAACUGUAACCCCCAGGGAAUACAUAAGGGACACUUUCCAGAACGUUCCAGACUCCGAAAAGGUAUAGGUAUGUGGUACGGUAAGUAAACUGACUCCAAAACGACCCUAAUGGCAAUUUUUAUCAGUUUUGGAAUAUUUAAAAAAAUUAGGAAUAAAGAAGUAGUCCGAAAGGGACACGAGGCUCCCACGAGAGUGGAGGGCGCCCCCCCCCCCUUACUGGGCGCGCCCCCUGUCUCGCUGGCACCUCAUGUGCCUCCCGGACUCCGUUUUCUUGCAUGUUACGUAUUUUGGUCGGUAAAAAUUCAUUAUAUAUACCCCUGAAGGUUUUGACUACCGUAUCACACAAAUAUCCUCUAUUUUCGUUUCGAGCUAUUUCUGUUUCAUAUCUAAGAGCAUCAUGUCGUCUCCAAGCGCUCCCAAGGAUAAGUUUUUCGAGAGGGUUAUCAACCCCUAUCUUGCGGAGGUGUUGCAACACCCUCAAACCAUUGAGAUGCAUGAGGUGGUGCUGCACAUCCGCGAUGUGGAGGGACCAAGGCGUACCGGGAGCGUGGAGACAAAGCUCGAAGCCGUGGAGCAGCAAGUUUUCAAGUGCCAAGGGAUGGUGGAGCAUGGAAUCAACGCCAACCAGAUGAUGAUCACGGAGUUCACCAACAACCACAAGUUGGAUGCCAAAGUCAUUGGGGAGACCAUCUUCAAGCUUCAAGAGAAAAUCGAGCACCUCCAAGCCCAGAUCUACGACCUGCAAAACCAGAACUGCGAGUAUGAAUAUAGAUUCAAGAGGAUGAGUUUGGCUGCAGAUUUAAGGAUCCCGGAGACUCGAUCAUCCUUCUAUGAUGGAGAGCCUAUGCCUUGGAAGAUGGACGACAAGCCUACAUCAUCAACAACUCCUACUUCACCACCUCCGAGGACAUAAUCACAUGGGUAUGGGCACUCCCCUUGGCAACUGCCAAGCUUGGGGGAGGUGCCCCGAUAUCGUAUCACCAUCGCACUCCUAUCUUUGCCGCUUUAUUUAGUUUGAUCCUUUUAGUAGUAUCUUGAUCUAGUAGAUUGAAGUUUUGAUAUCAAGUAGUUUGAGUUUUGCUUUGUGAUCUCUUUUUGUAAUCGAGUCCGUGAGCUAUCUAUAAUAAAUAUUAGUGUUGAGUCAAGGGAUUUGCUAUGUUGCUAUGAUCUUGAGAAAGUAGAAAGAAUAAACGAGUUCAUAUUGAUCUUAUGGAUAGUAAUAACUUCACAUAUAGAAAGUAUGAGGCAUAAAAAUUGUUGAGAGUUGAUAAACUCAGCCUUGGUCAUCGUUGCAAUUAAUAGGAAGUGAUAACGAAAGAGGAGUUCACAUAUAAAUAUAUUAUCUUGGACACCUUUUAUAAUUGGGAGCACUCAUUCAGUAUGACAUGCUAAAAGAGUUGACGUUGGAGAAGGAAGAUAACAUAAUGGUUUAUGUUUUCCGGCAUCUCAGUUAAAGUAUAUUGUCAUUGACCUUCCAAACAUGUUGAGCUUUCCUUUCCCGCUCAUGCUAGCCAAACUCCUUGCACAAAGUAGAGAUACUACAUGUGCUUCCAAAUACCCUUAAACACAGUUUUGCCAUGAGAGUCCACCAUACCUACCUAUGGAUUGAGUAAGAUCCUUCUGUUGGGGAACGUAGUAAUUUCAAAAAAAAUCCUACGUACACGCAAGAUCAUGGUGAUGGCAUAGCAACGAGAGGGGAGAGUGUUGUCCACGUACCCUCGUAGACCGUAAGCGGAAGCGUUAUGACAACGCGGUUGAUGUAGUCGUACGUCUUCACAAUCCGACCGAUCCAAGCACCGAACGUACGGCACCUCCGAGUUCAGCACACGUUCAGCUCGAUGACGAUCCCCGGGAUCCGAUCCAGCAAAGCUUCGGGGAUGAGUUCCGUCAGCAUGACGGCGUGGUGACGAUGAUGAUGUUCUACCGGCGCAGGGCUUCGCCUAAAAUACGCGACGAUAUGACCGAGGUGGAAUAUGGUGGAGGGGGGCACCGCACACGGCUAAGGAACGAUCCGUAGAUCAACUUAUGUUCUUGUGGGGUGCCCCCCUGCCCCCGUAUAUAAAGGAGGGAGGGGGAGGUGCGGCCGGCCCCCUUGGGGUGCGCCUGGAGGAGUCCUACUCCCACCGGGAGUAGGACUACCUCCUCUUGCCUUGGUGGAGAAGGAAAGGGGGGAGGGGAAAGAGGAAAGGGGGGCGCCCCCCCCCCCUUCCUUGUCCUAUUCGGACUAGGGGGGAGGGGGCGCGCGGCCUGCCCUGGCCGGCCCUCCUCUUCUCCCUCAUGGCCCACUAAGGCCCAUUAACCCCCGGGAGGGUUCCGGUAACCCCCCGGUGUUCCGGUAAAAUCCCGAUUUCACCCGGAACCUUUCUGAUGUCCAAACAUAGGCUUCCAAUAUAUCAAUCUUUAUGUCUCGACCAUUUCGAGACUCCUCGUCAUGUCCGUGAUCACAUCCGGGACUCCUAACAAACUUCGGUACAUCAAAACUUAUAAACUCAUAAUAAAACUGUCAUCGUAACGUUAAGUGUGCGGACCCUACGGGUUCGAGAACUAUGUAGACAUGACCUAGAACCAUUCUCGGUCAAUAACCAAUAGCGAAACCUGGAUGCCCAUAUUGGUUCCUACAUAUUCUACGAAGAUCUUUAUCGGUCAAACCGCAUAACAACAUACGUUGGUACCUUUGUCAUCGGUAUGUUACUUGCCCGAGAUUCAAUCGUCGGUAUCCAAUACCUAGUUCAAUCUCGUUACUGGCAUGUCUCUUUACUCAUUACGUAACGCAUCAUUCCGUAACUAACUUAUUAGCUACAUUGCUUGCAAGGCUUAUAGUGAUGUGCAUUACCAAGAGGGCCCAGAGAUACCUCUCCGACAAUCGGAGUGACAAAACCUAAUCUCGAAAUACGCCAACUCAACAUGUACCUUCAGAGACACCUAUAGUACUCCUUUAUAAUCACCCAGUUACGUUGUGACGUUUGGUAGUACCCAAAGUGUUCCUCCGGUAAACGGGAGUUGCAUAAUCUCAUAGUUACAGGAACAUGUAUAAGUCAUGAAGAAAGCAAUAGCAAUAUACUAAACGAUCAAGUGCUAGGCUAACGGAAUGGGUCAUGUCAAUCACAUCAUUAUCCUAAUGAUGUGAUCCCAUUAAUCAAAUGACAACAGAUGUCUAUGGUUAGGAAACAUAACCAUCUUUGAUUAAUUUGCUAGUCAAGUAGAGGCAUACUAGUGACUAUAUGUUUGUCUAUGUAUUCACACAUGUAUCAUGUUUCCGGUUAAUACAAUUCUAGCAUGAAUAAUAAACAUUUAUCAUGAAAUAAGGAAAUAAAUAAUAACUUUAUUAUUGCCUCUAGGGCAUAUUUCCUUCAGUAUCCCACUUGCACUAGAGUCAAUAAUCUAGUUCACAUCGCUAUGUGAUUUAACACCAAUAUUCACAUCUGCAUGUGAUUAAUACCCAUAGUUCACAUCAUCAUGUGAUCAACACCCAAAGGGUUUACUAGAGUCAAUAAUCUAGUUCACAUCGCUAUGUGAUUAACACCCAAAAGAGUACUAAGGUAUGAUCAUGUUUUGCUCGUGAGAGAAGCUUAGUCAACGGGUCUGUCAUAUUCAGAGCCGUAUGUAUUUCGCAAAUAUUCUAUGUCCACAAUGCUCUGCACGGAGCUACUCUAGCUAAUUGCUCCCACUUUCAAUAUGUAUCCAGAUUGAGACUUAGAGUCAUCUGGAUUGGUGUAAAAGCUUGCAUCGUUGCAACUUUAAUGACAGGCUCUUUUAUCACCUCCAUAAUCGAGAAACAUCUCCUUAGUCCUCACUAAGGAUAUUCUUGACCCAUGUCCAGUGAUCUACUUAUUAGAUCAAAAUUGUAUUCCUUUGCCAAACACAGAGCAAGGUAUACAAUAGGUCUGGUUCAUGGCAUAGCAUACUUUAUAGAACCUAUGACUGAGGCAUAGGGAAUGACUUUUCAUUCUCUUUCUAUUUUCUGCAAUGGUCGGGUCUUGAGUCUUACUCAACUUCACACCUUGUAACACAGGCAAGAACUCCUUCUUUGACUGUUCCAUUUUGAACUAUUUCAAAAAUUUAUCAAGGUAUGUAUUCAUUGAAAAAUCUUAUCAAGCGUUUUGAUCUAUCUAUAUAGAUCUUGAUGCUCAAUGUGUAAGCAGCUUUACCGAGGUCUUUCUUUUAAAGAACUCCUUUCAAACACUCCUUUAUGCUUUGCAGAAUAAUUCUACAUUAUUUCCGAUCAACAAUAUGUCAUUCACAUAUACUUAUCAGAAAUGCUGUAGUGCUCCCACUCACUUUCUUGUAAAUACAGGCCUUUCCAAAAGUCUGUAUAAAACCAUAUGCUUUGAUCAACUCAUCAAAGCGUAUAUUCCAACUCUGAGAUGCUUGCACCAGUCCAUUGAUGGAUCGCUGGAGCUUGCACAUUUUGUUAGCACCUUUAGGAUUAGCAAAACCUUCUGGUUGCAUCAUAUACAACUCUUGUUUAAAAAUCCAUUAAGGAAUGCAGUUUUGACAUCCAUUUGCCAAAUUUCAUAAAAUGUGGCAAUUGCUAACAUGAUUUAGACAGACUUAAGCAUCGAUACGAGUGAGAAAAUCUCAUCGUAUUCAACACCUUGAACUUGUCGAAAACCUUUUGCAACAAGUCGAGCUUUAGUAGAUAGUAACACUACUAUCAGUGUCCGUCUUCCUCUUGAAGAUCCAUUUAUUUAACAUGGCUUGCUGAUCAUCGAGCAAGUCAAUCAAAGUCCAUACUUUGUUCUCAUACAUGGAUCAUAUCUCAGAUUUUAUGGCCUCAAGCCAUUUCGUGGAAUCUGGGCUCGUCAUCGCUUCCUCAUAUUUCCUAGGUUCAUCAUGGUCUAGUAACAUGACUUCCAGAACAUGAUUACCGUACCACUCUGGUGCGGAUCUUACUCUGGAAGACCUACGAGGUUUGGUAGCAACUUGAUCUCAAGUUUCAUGAUCAUCAUCAUUAACUUCCUCACUAAUUGGUGUAGGAAUCACUGGAACUGAUUUCUGUGAUGAACUACUUUCCAAUAAGGGAGAAGGUACAAUUACCUCAUCAAGUUCUACUUUCCUCCCACUCACUUCUUUCGAGAGAAACUUCUUCUCUAGAAAGGAUCCAUCUUAGCAACGAAACUUGCUUUCGGAUCUGUGAUAGAAGGUGUACCCAAUAGUUACCUUUGGGUAUUCUAUGAAGACGCACUUCUCCGAUUUGGGUUUGAGCUUAUCAGGCUGAAACUUUUUCACAUAAGCAUCGCAGCCCCAAACUUUAAGAAAUGACAACUUUGGUUUCUUGCUAAACCACAGUUCAUAAGGCGUCGUCUCAACGGAUUUUGAUGGUGCCCUUUUUUAACGUGAAUGCAGCUGUCUCUAAUGCAUAACCCCAAAACGAUAGUGGUAAACCGAUAAGAGACAUCAUAGAUCGCACCAUAUCUAGUAAAGUACGAUUACUACGUUCGGACACACCAUUACAUUGUGGUGUUCCAGAUGGCGUGAGUUGCGAAACUAUUUCACAUUGUUUCAAAUUAAGACCAAACUCAUAACUCAAAUAUUCGUCUCCACGAUCAGAUCGUAGAAACUUUAUUUUUCUUGUUACAAUGAUUUUUCCACUUCACUCUGAAAUUCUUUGAACUUUUCAACUAUUUCAGACCUAUGUUUCAUUAAGUAGAUAUACCCAUAUCUGCUCAAAUCAUCUGUGAAGGUUAGAAAAUAACGAUACUUGCCACGAGCCUUAACACUGAUCAGAUCGCAUACAUCGGUAUGUAUUAUUUCCAAUAAGUCAGUAGCUUGUUCCAUUGUUCCGGAGAACGGAGUUUUAGCCAUCUUGCCCAAAAGGCACGGUUCGCAAGCAUCAAAUGAUUUAUAACCAAGUGAUUCCGAAAAUCCAUCUUUAUGGAGUUUCUUCAUGCGCUUUACACCGAUAUGACCCAAACGGCAGUGCCACAAAUAAGUUGCACUAUCAUUAUCAACUUUGCAUCUUUUGGCAUCAAUAUUAUGAAUAUGUGUAUCACUACGAUCGAGAUCCAACAAACUAUUUUCAUUGGGUGUAUGACCAUAAAAGGUUUUAUUCAUUUAAACAGAACAACAAUUAUUCUUUGACUUUAAAUGAAUAACCAUAUCGCAAUAAACAUGAUCAAAUCAUAUUCAUGCUCAACGCAAAUGCCAAAUAACAUUUAUUUAGGUUUAACACUAAUCCUGAAAGUAUAGGGAGUGUGCGAUGAUGAUCAUAUCAAUCUUGGAACCACUUCCAACACACAUCGUCACUUCACCCUCAACUAGUCUCUGUUUAUUCUGUAACUCCUGUUUCGAGUUACUAAUCUUAGCAACCGAACAAGUAUCAAAUACUCAGGGGUUACUAUAAACACUAGUUAGGUACACAUCAAUAAUCUGUAUAUCAAAUAUACCCUUGUUUAGUUUGCCAUCCUUCUUAUCCACCAAAUAUUCAGGGUAUUUCCCUUUCCAGUGACCAUUUCCUUUGCAGUGUAAGCACUCAGUUUCAGGCUUUGGUUCAGCUUUGGGCUUCUUCGUGGGAGUGACAACUUGCUUGUCAUUCUACUUGAAGUUCCCUUUCUAUCCCUUUGCCCUUUUCUUGAAACUAGUGGUCUUGUCAAUCAUCAACACUUGAUGCUCUUUCUUGAUUUCUACCUUCAUCGAUUUCAACAUCACGAAGAGCUCGGGAAUCGUUUUCGUCAUCCCUUGCAUACUAUAGUUCAUCACAAAGUUCUACUAACUUGGUGAUGGUGACUAGAGAAUUCUGUCAAUCACUAUCUUAUCUGGAAGAUUAACUCCCACUUGAUUCAACCGAUUGUAGUACCCAGACAAUCUGAGCACAUGCUCACUAGUUGAGCGAUUCUCCUCCAUCUUUUAGCCAUAGAUCUUGUUGGAGACUUCAUAUCUCUCAACUCGGGUAUUUGCUUGAAAUAUUAACUUCAACUCCUGGAACAUCUCAUAUGGUCCAUGACAUUCAAAACAUCUUUGAAGUCCCGAUUCUAAGCCGUUAAGCAUGGUGCACUAAACUAUCAAGUAGUCAUCAUAUUGAGCUAGCCAAACGUUCAUAACGUCUACAUCUGCUCCUGCAAUAGGUCUGUCACCUAGCGGUGCAUCAAGGACAUAAUUCUUCUGUGCAGCAAUGAGGAUAAACCUCAGAUCACGGACCAAGUCCGCAUCAUUGCUACUAACAUUUUUCAACAUAGUUUUUCUCUAGGAACACAUAUAAAAACAUAGGGAAGCAAAAACAUAGGGAAGCAACAACGCGAGCUAUUGAUCUAUAACACAAUUUGCAAAAUACUACCAGGACUAAGUUCAUGAUAAAUUCAAGUUCAAUUAAUCAUAUUACUUAAGAACUCCCACUUAGACAAACAUCUCUCUAGUCAUCUAAGUGAUCACGUGAUCCAAAUCAACUAAACCAUAACCGAUCAUCACGUGAGAUGGAGUAGUUUUCAAUGGUGAACAUCACUAUGUUGAUCAUAUCUACUAUAUGAUUCACGCUCGACCUUUCGGUCUCCGUGUUCCGAGGCCAUAUCUGCAUAUGCUAGGCUCGUCAAGUUUAACCUGAGUAUUCCGCGUGUGCAAAACUGUCUUGCACCCGUUGUAGAUGGACGUAGAGCUUAUCACACCCGAUCAUCACGUGGUGUCUGGGCACGACGAACUUUGGCAACGGUGCAUACUUAGGGAGAACACUUCUUGAUAAUUUUAGUGAGAGAUCAUCUUAAAAUGCUAUCGUCAAUCAAAGCAAGAUAAGAUGCAUAAAGGAUAAACAUCACAUGCAAUCAAUAUAAGUGAUAUGAUAUGGCCAUCAUCAUCUUGUGCUUGUGAUCUCCAUCUCCGAAGCACCGUCGUGAUCACCAUCGUCACCGGCGCGACACCUUGAUCUCCAUCGUAGCAUCGUUGUCGUUACGCCAUCUAUUGCUUCUACGACUAUCGCUACCGCUUAGUGAUAAAGUAAAGCAAUUACAGGGUGUUUGCAUUUCAUACAAUAAAGCGACAACCAUAUGGCUCCUGCCAGUUGCCGAUAACUUCGGUUACAAAACAUGAUCAUCUCAUACAAUAAAAUAUAGCAUCACGUCUUGACCAUAUCACAUCGCAACAUGCCCUGCAAAAACAAGUUAGACAUCCUCUACUUUGUUGUUGCAAAUUUUACGUGGCUGAUACGGGCUUAGCAAGAACCGUUCUUACCUACGCAUCAAAAACCACAACGAUAGUUUGUCAAGUUGGUGUUGUUUUAACCUUUGCAAGGACCGGGCGUAGCCACACUCGAUUCAGCUAAAGUGAGAGAGACAGACACCCUCCAGCCGCCUUUAAGCACGAGUGCUCGUAACGGUGAAACCAGUCUCGCGUAAGCGUACGAGUAAUGUCGGUCCGGGCCACUUCAUCUCACAAUACCGCCGAACCAAAGUAUGACAUGCUGGUAAGCAGUAUGACUUGUAUCGCCCACAACUCACUUGUGUUCUACUCGUGCAUAUAACAUCAACGCAUAAAACCUGGCUCGGAUACCACUGUUGGGGAAUGUAGUAAUUUCAAAAAAUUUCCUACGUACACGCUAGAUCAUGGUGAUGGCAUAGCAACGAGAGGGGAGAGUGUUGUCCACGUACCCUCGUAGACCGUAAGCGGAAGUGUUAUGACAACGCGGUUGAUGUAGUCGUACGUCUUCACGAUCCGACCGAUCGAAGCACCGAACGUACAGCACCUCCGAGUUCAGCACACGUUCAGCUCGAUGACGAUCCCCGGGCUCCGAUCCAGCAAAGCUUCGGGGAUGAGUUCCGUCAGCACGACGGCAUGGUGACGAUGAUGAUGUUCUACCGGUGCAGGGCUUCGCCUAAACUCCGUGACGAUAUGACCGAGGUGGAAUAUGGUGGAGGGGGGCACCGCACACGGCUAAGGAACGAUCCGUAGAUCAACUUGUGUUCUUGUGGGGUGCCCCCCUGCCCCCAUAUAUAAAGGAGGGAGGGGGAGGUGCGGCCGGCCCCCUUGGGGUGCGCCUGGAGGAGUCCUACUCCCACCGGGAGUAGGACUCCCCCCUCUUGCCUUGGUGGAGAAGGAAAGGGGGGAGGGGAAAGAGGAAAGGGGGGCGCCGCCCCCCCCUUCCUUGUCCUAUUCGGACUAGGGAGGAGGGGGCGCGCGGCCUGCCCUGGCCGGCCCUCCUCUUCUCCCUCAUGGCCCACUAAGGCCCAUUAACCCCCGGGAGGGUUCCGGUAACCCCCCGGGGUUCCGGUAAAAUCCCGAUUUCACCCGAAACCUUUCCGAUGUCCAAACAUAGGCUUCCAAUAUAUCAAUCUUUAUGUCUCGACCAUUUCGAGACUCCUCGUCAUGUCCGUGAUCACAUCCGGGACUCCGAACAAACUUCAGUACAUCAAAACUUAUAAACUCAUAAUAAAACUGUCAUCGUAACGUUAAGCGUGCGGACCCUACGGGUUCGAGAACUAUGUAGACAUGACCUAGAACCAUUCUCGGUCAAUAACCAAUAGCAGAACCUGGAUGCCCAUAUUGGUUCCUACAUAUUCUACGAAGAUCUUUAUCGGUCAAACCGCAUAACAACAUACGUUGUUCCCUUUGUCAUCGGUAUGUUACUUGACCAAGAUUCGAUCGUCGGUAUCCAGUACCUAGUUCAAUCUCGUUACUGGCAAGUCUCUUUACUCGUUACGUAAUGCAUCAUUCCGUAACUAACUUAUUAGCUACAUUGCUUGCAAAGCUUAUAGUGAUGUGCAUUACUGAGAGGGCCCAGAGAUACCUCUCCGACAAUCGGAGUGACAAAACCUAAUCUCGAAAUACGCCAACUCAACAUGUACCUUCGGAGACACCUGUAGUACUCCUUUAUAAUCACCCAGUUACGUUGUGUCGUUUGGUAGUACCCAAAGUGUUCCUCCGGUAAACGGGAGUUGCAUAAUCUCAUAGUUACAGGAACAUGUAUAAGUCAUGAAGAAAGCAAUUGCAAUAUACUAAACGAUCAAGUGCUAGGCUAACGAAAUGGGUCAUGUCAAUCACAUCAUUCUCCUAAUGAUGUGAUCCCAUUAAUCAAAUGACAACACAUGUCUAUGGUUAGGAAACAUAACCAUCUUUGAUUAAUGAGCUAGUCAAGUAGAGGCAUACUAGUGACUAUGUGUUUGUCUAUGUAUUCACACAUGUAUCAUGUUUCCGGUUAAUACAAUUCUAGCAUGAAUAAUAAACAUUUAUCAUGAAAUAAGGAAAUAAAUAAUAACUUUAUUAUUGCCUCUAGGGCAUAUUUCCUUCACCUUCAAGUAAGUUGUCAUGUUGCGAGCAAUAAAAAUUGCUAUCUAAAUAUGUAUGACUUAUUAGUGCAGAGAAAAUAAGCUUUGUACGAACUUGUUGUGGAAGUAAUAAAAGCGACAGACUGCAUAAUAAAGGUCCACAUACAAGGGGCAAUAUAAAGUGACGUUCUUUUGCAUUAAGAUUUUGUGCAUCAACCCUAAACGCACAUGACAACCUCUGCUUCCCUCUGCGAAGGGCCUAUCUUUUACUUUAUGUUUUUACUUUGUGCUUGAGUCAAGGUGAUCCUCACAUUUUCCUUUUUCAUUUUAUCAUUUGGCAAGCUCCUCGUGUUUGAAAGAUCAUGAUAUAAUAUAUCCAACUGGAUGUUAGUUAGCAUGGGCUAUUAUUAUUGACAUCACCUAAAGGUGAAUACGUUGGGAGGCAACACAAUAAGCCCCUAUCUUUCUCAGUGUCCGGCUGAAACUCCAUAACCACAAGUACUGCGUGAGUGUUAGCAAUUAUAAAAGACUACAGGAUAGUUGAGUAUGUGAACUUGCUGAAAAGCUCUAUUGUUGACUCUUUCUGAUGUUACGAUAAAUUGCAAUUGCUUCAAUGACUGAGAUUAUAGUUUAUUAGUUCCCAAUGAAGUUUUUGAAUCAUACUUGACAUUGUGGAUUGAUUGUUACUUGAGCGUAGGAAUUCAUAUGAUAAAAUCUAUAUAUGUUGUUGUUAUAAGAAUGAUCAUGAUGCCCUCAUGUCCAUAUUUUAUUUUUAUCGACACCUCUAUCUGUAAACAUGUGGACAUAUUUUUCGAUUUCGGCUUCCGCUUGAGGACAAGCGAGGUCUAAGCUUGGUGGAGUUGAUACGUCCAUUUUGCAUCAUGCUUUUAUAUCAAUAUUUAUUGCAUUAUGGGCUGUUAUUACACAUUAUAUCUCAAUACUUAUGGCUAUUCUCUCUUAUUUUACAAGGUUUACCAUGAAGAGGGGGAAUGCCGGCAGCUGGAAUUCUGGCUGGAAAAGGAGCAAAUAUUGGAAACCUAUUCUGCACAACUCCAAAAGUCCUGAAACUCCACGAAAUAACUUUUUGGAAUUAAUAAGAAUUUCUGAGUGAAAGAAAUACACCAGGCGCCCCACACCCUGUCCAGGAGACAGGGGCGCCCCUAUCUCCUGGGCCCCCUGGUGGGCCUCCGGUGUCCAUCUUCUGCUAUAUCAUCGCUUUUACCAUGGAAAAAAUUGUGGGCAAGCUUACGGGAUGAAACUCCGCCGCCACGAGGCGGAACCUUGGCGGAACCAAUCUAGGGCUCUGGCGGAGCUGUUCUGCCGGGGACACUUCCCCCCGGAAGGGGGAAAUCAUUACCAACGUCAUCACCAAUGAUCCUCUCAUAGGGAGGGGGUCAAUCUCCAUCAACAUCUUCACCAGCACCAUCUCCUCUCAAAACCCUAGUUCAUCUCUUGUAUCCAAUCUUGUAUCAAAACCACAAAUUGGUACCUGUGGAUUGAUAGUAGUGUUGAUUACUACUUAUAGUUGAUGCUAAUUGGUUUACUUGGUGGAAGAUCAUAUGUUCAGAUUCUUUAUGCAUAUUAUUACUCCUCUGAUUAUGAACAUGAAUAUGCUUUGUGAUUAGUUACAUUCGUUCCUGAGGACAUGGGUGAAGUCUUGCUAUUAGUAGUCAUGUGAAUUUGGUAUUCGUUCGAUAUUUUGAUGAGAUGUAUGUUGUCUUUUCCUCUAGUGGUGUUAUGUGAACAUCGACUACAUGACACUUCACCAUGAUUUGGGCCUAGAGGAAGGCCUGGGGAAGUAAUAAGUAGAUGAUGGGUUGCUAGAGUGACAGAAGCUUAAACCCUAGUUUAUGCGUUGAUUCGUUAGGGGCUGAUAUGGAUCCAUGUGUUUAAUGUUGUGGUUAGGUUUACCUUAAUAAUUCUUUUGUAGUUGUGGACGCUUGCAAUAGGGGUUAAUCAUAAGUAGGAUGCUUGUCCAUGUAAGGGCAGUACCCAAGUACCGGUCCACCCACAUAUCAAAUUAUCAAAGUACCGAACGCAAAUCAUAUGAACAUGAUGAAAACUAGCUUGACGAUAAUUCCCAUGUGUCCUCGGGAGCUCCUUUCUCAUUAUUAGAAUUUGUCCAGGCUUAUCCUGUGCUACAUAAAGGAUUGGGCCACCUUGCUGCACUUUAAUUAUUUUAUUUACUUGUUACUUGUUACCAUUUAUCUUAUCGCAAAACUAUCUAUCACCUACAAUUUUAGUGCUUGCAGAGAAAACCUUACUGAAAACCGCUUAUCAUUUCCUUCUGCCCUCGUUGGGUUCGAUACUCUUACUUAUCGAAAGGACUACGAUUGAUCUCCUACACUUGUGGGUCAUCACUUGCGCACUUGUUGUUUGUUGCAUCAUAUAGGUUGCUCACCUAGUUGCAUAUCUAGACAACCUACUUUGAUGCAAAGUUUAAUUUGGUAAAGAAAAGCUAAAAAUUGUUAGUUGCCUAUUCACCCCCCACCCUCUAGUCAACUAUAUCGAUCCUUUCAAUUGGUAUCAGAGCCUCGUCUCUUUAUUAAAGACUUUGUCGUCCGAAGAGUAUGGUUGACACCAUAGACGGUGGGGAGGAGCACUCCGGUGUGAAUCCGAGCUCGUCUAGGGCCGAUGGGGAACCGCGGUCUCUCGUGAGGAAUUUAAUGUGGCUUUGGACACAUUGAAAACCUCCAUGACGACCGAGGUUGAAAGCAUGUUUAAUAAAUUCUUAGAAGGACUUAAACUAUCUACCUCGCCUAUAAAAGUGGGUGAUCCCACUAACAAGGUGACGCAUGCUAGCUCCGACAAGGGGGAAACUAAUAGUGAAAAGGGUCCUUCUACUAGUGGUCAAAAUGGCACCGACAUCUUUUCCCAUGUGGAGCCUCCAACUUAUGGAGGACCGAUUCCCUCUACUCAUUUAAAUCAUGCCAGCCCUCCUCCUAAGAUUGUGAAAAAUGAGGAUUUUGAUUCUUGGGUGUAUCGCUUCAAGCGUCAUCUAAAUCAUGUGAAUACUAAUCUUUGGAGAAUCAUUGAAGAAGGUUUCUAUCCACAUGACCGAAGCAACUUCACCCCUAGAGAAGUCGUGGAUAAUUAAUUCAAUGAGAAUGCUCUCUUCAUCAUCCAAGAUGCUAUUCUCCCCGAAGAUCUCCCUCAUCUUCGACCCUACGCCAUGGACAAAGAUGCAUGGCAUUGCAUUGUGUCUCUCUAUCGGGGAAGCGCAAGCAUUCAAUGCUCCAACUAUGAAGUGGUGCAAGAUGAAGCCGAUGAGUUUGCAAUGAAAGAAGAUGAAGAACCUUGUGAGCUCUUUCGGAGAGUAACCAAACUCGCGGUCUCACUCCGAGAUCAUGGGAGAAAGGACACGGAUGACAAUUGGAUCAAGCGCAAGUUCCUCGAGGCCAUGAUGCCCUACAACAAGUCCAUUUCCUCCAUCAUCCGUCAAAGACCGGAGUUCCACUCCAUGACCUCAAGUGAAGUGUUGGAUGAGUUUGUUGCAAUGAGCAUCUUGGACAAGACCGCCGCCAACGCGGUGCUCCGUUCUCAAAGAACAAAGAAGUCCAAUCUUGCCUUGAAGGCCAAGGUCAUUGUGGAAGAAGAGGAAGAAGAGGAAGAUGAGGAGGGCAAUCCCGAUGAUACAAAGUAUGAUUAUCAUGAGCACAUGGCUCUUGCUUCAAGGCAAUUUUGGAGCAAGAAGAACACAAGGCCCAAUUUCAACAAGAACAAUUCAAGUGGGUUCAAGGGCAAGCAACGAGUGAGAACUUGUUACAAUUGUGGCAAUGUGAGUCACUUUGUUGUGGAUUGUCUUUACGAGAAGCGGGAAGACAAUGGUGGCAAGCUCAUUCAAAAAGACAAAGCCAAGUCCUUCCCCAACAAGAACAACUUCACCAAAAAGACUUCUACUCGAGGGUUAGUGGUCCAAGAAGAAUACCAUGAGUAUGACGAUGAUGAUGAAGAUGGAGAAGCAAUGGCCAUGGCUUCUGUUGCCAUUGCCACAACUCCCCUGGUGUCUCUCUUCGAUUCACCCAACGAGAACAUCACCGCCAAGUGCCUCAUGGCUAAAGCCACUAACAAGGUAACCCCCAACAUGAAAACCACCAUGAUGACUAAUCCCUCCUUGACGGAUUGCAUUGAUGAAAAUGAGGGGUCUAAUGAAGAGAUGAAUGAAUUUCAGUCUUUUAUGAUUAAACUCAAGGGCAAAUCCAAGAAGCACUUUGUUGCUCUCUUGGAACAACUUGGUGAAGCCAAUGACAUGAUCGAGGCUCAUGAAGAAACCAUCUCUAAGAUGGAAGGUCAUAGUAGUGACUAUGCCGAUGAGAUAUCGGAUCUCUCUAAUGCUCUUGAGGAAGAGCAUGGUCAUCGUUUGGCUCUUGAGGAGUCACACAAUGAUGACCAUGCUAAAUUAAAGAAAGAUCUUGAUCAUGCUCUUGUUGUAUCUCGUGUGCUAACUUCCGACAAGGCUAAACUUGGGGUUGACCAUGCUAGACUCAAGGAGGAGUUUGAUAUACUCGACAAGGCCCACAAGGUCUUGAAGGGUGCUCAUGCUAGCCUCAAGGAGUCUCAUGAUCAACUCCAAGUGAAGCUAACCAAAGAAAAGGCCACUUUUCCUCAUAUGGUAUUAAUUGAUAAUGCAAAUGCCACUAACCCGUGUUGUGAGCAUGUGCAUCUUGUGGAGGAGAAUGCCAAGUUAAAGGAGCAAAUUGAGAAAGGCCUUGUGACAUUUAUACAAGGUGAGAAGAACCUCAAUGACCUUUUGAGCAAUCAAAAGGAAGUUGUGGCCAAGGAGGGAAUUGGGUUCGCACCCAAGUCCAAGAACAAGAAGAAGAACGACAAGGCAAAACGACCUCCUCCUCUCAAGAAAACGUUUGUGAAGGAGGGAGAGGGUGCUCCUAAGGAGAAUAAGAACAAUGUGAAUGGUGGUGAUGUCAAAAAGGGCAAAGCCACCUCCUCCAACAAAGCCGGUGACUUUAACCCUUCUUAUGUGUUGUGUCGUGCUAGUGAUGGGCAUGUUUAUGCUAAAUUUGUUGGUUCUUCUUAGGAGUACAUUGAAUAGUCUAUUUGGGUUCCUAAGACCCUUGUUACUAACAUCAAAGGACCCAUUACUAAAUGGGUACCUAACACCAAGCAUUUAUCUCUUGUAGGUGUUUGCUUCUGGUGGGGGAUCAUGGUUGCUCGAUAGUGGAGCAACAAAUCAUAUGACCGGAGCAAGGACUUGGUGGUGGACGUGCACAAGAUCCCAUCUAUGCCCACCAAUGUCGAGUGGAGUGAUGCCUCGUCUUCUAAGGUAUUGGGUCUUGGCAAGGUCGUCAUUUCUCAUGAUCUAACGAUCCAGAAAAUCAUGCUUGUUGAGUCCCUUGCGUACAAUCUACUUUCCGUUCGUCAACUUGCGCUCAUGGGCUUUGCCACUUUAUUUGAUAUUGAUACCGUGGUCCUCUUGUGGAGCAAGACUCUUAAAGUAGCCUUUGUUGGGCAUGUCGAGAAUGGUCUCUAUGUGAUUAACUUUUCGGAGCGACCCACUAAGACCGCGACAUGCCUAAUGGCUAAAGUUGAUGUGGGAUGGUUGUGGCAUCGCCGUUUAGCCCACGUCAAUAUGAGAUCUUUGCAAAGUAUUCUCAAGGGGUACCAUGUCCGUGGACUAACAAAUGUUAGUUUUUCCAAAGAUUGUGCUUGCAGUGCCUGUAUCGAAGGAAAGCUUCAUGAAAAGGCUCACCCUCCCACGACUAUCAUCUACUCGAAGAGACCCUUGGAGCUCCUUAACAUGGAUCUCUUUGGGACUCCAUCCUUUGAUAGUCUUGGGGGUAGAAAGUAUUGCUUGGUGAUUGUGGAUGAUUAUUCGAGGUACACUUGGGUAUUUUUCUUCAAGAGGAAGAGUGAGACUCAACAAACCGUCAUCAACUUUGCAAAUGAAGCUCAACAUCAACAUGAUGCAAAGAUCUUGACAAUAAGAAGUGACAACAGCACCGAGUUCAAGAACUACACCUUGGAUGAGUUUCUUAGUGAUGAGGGGAUCAAACAUCAAUAUGCUGCACCAUAUACCCCUCAACAAAAUGAUGUCGCGGAGAGGAAGAACUAGACGUUGAUAGAUGCGGCAAGGACCAUGAUGGCGGAGUUCAAGUCUCCAUACAACUUUUGGGCUAAAGCCAUCAACACAACAUGUCAUGCAUCCAAUUGGCUCUAUCUCGGCAAAGGCUUGAACAAGACUCCUUAAGAAAUACUUACCGGUAACAAGACCAACCUCAAGUACUUCCGGGUGUUCGGGUGUAAGUGUUUCAUUCUCAAGAAAGGUGUUCGUUUGUCUAAAUUUGAGGCUAGAGCUUAUGAGGGCAUAUUUGUUGGUUAUGCUACAAACUCUCAUGCUUACCGUGUCCUCAACAAGUCCAUCGGACUCAUUGAGGAGACGUGUAACAUAGAGUUUGAUGAUAAUAACAGCUCCCAAGUGGAGCAAAGUGGUACUUGUGAUGUAGGUGAUGAAAUUCCUCCCCAAGCCAUAAGAAGAAUGGAUGUGGGUCAUAUCCUACCCAUUGAGGAACCCCUUGUGGCCGAAAGAGAAGGACAAUGCUCCACUCAAGUGGAGCCAUCACCAACCCAAGACCCACACGCUUCCGAAGAACAAAGUGAAGGCCCUCAAUCUCAUGAACAAGAUCAAGGGCAAGAUCAACCUCAAAAUGGUGGUGAACCUCUAAAUGAUGCCCAAGAUCAAGUUCUCCCUUUCAAGCAAGUUCAAGAUCAAGAGCAAUCUCAAGACGGCGCUCAAGAUGAUCAAGUUUCCCCUCCUCUUUCCACUUCCGAGGAGGAAUUAGAGCGUCGGUUCGCGAAGAUUGCUUCCAAGCUCACCACCAAAGGUCAUCUCAUGGAGAAUGUGGUUGGAAGCCUAAGAAAGGGGGUAAGCACUCAUAGAUAAUUAGCAAACUAUUGUGAACAUCACGCGUUUGUCUCUUGUGUUGAACCCCAAAAGGUCUAUGAGGCGCUCGAAGAUUCGGAUUGGCUCAAUGCCAUGCAUGAAGAACUCAAAAACUUCGAGUACAACAAGGUGUGGAGAUUGGUGCCAAGGCCAUCGGGGAACCACAAUGUCAUUGGAACCAAGUGGAUAUUCAAGAACAUGCAAGAUGCUCAUGGGAACAUCGUUCGCAACAAGGAAAGAUUGGUAGCACAAGGCUAUUCUCAAGUCGAGGGUAUCGACUACGGUCAAACCUUUGCUCCCAUUGCUCGCCUUGAAUCCAUUCGUUUGUUGAUUGCAUAUGCUUCCCAUCACAACCUUAAGUUACAACAAAUGGAUGUGAAGAGUGCUUUUCUUAAUGGCCCUAUUAAUGAGUUGGUUUAUGUCAAGCAAACCCCCGGGUUCGAGGAUCCCUACUUCCCAGAUCAUGUGUAUCAACUUGAUAAGGCACUCUAUGGCCUUAAGAAAUCCCCACGUGCGUGGUAUGACCACCUUACCGAGUUGUUGCAAGAUCGUGGAUUUGAGGUUGGGCAAAUCGAUCCCACUCUUUUUACUAACAAGGUCAAAGGGGAGUUAUUUGUAUGCCAACUAUAUGUUGAUGAUAUUAUCUUUGGUUCCCCUAAAAAAGCUUUCAAUGAGGAAUUUGCCGCUCUCAUGACCUCUAAGUUCAAGAUGUGUUCGAUGGGAGAGUUGAAGUUCUUCCUUCGUUUCGAUAUCAAGCAAAUAAGAGAAGGUACCUUCAUCAACCAGCCAAAUACACUCAAGACAUGUUAAAAAGAUUCAAGCUAAGCGAUGUCAAGUCGUCUUCUACUCCAAUGCCCACCAAGUGCCAACUCGACAUUGAUCCCAAUGGUAAAGCGGUGGAUCAAAAGGUAUAUCGCUCCAUGAUUGGCUCCUUGCUUUACCUUUGUGCAUCUAGACCGGAUAUCAUGUUGAGUGUGGGAAUGUGUGCAUGGUUUCAAGCCGCACCGAAGGAAAGCCACUUUGUGGCGGUCAUGCGAAUCUUCUGAUAGUUGGCUCAUACCCCAAACUUUGGCUUAUGGUACCCAAGAGGAGCAAACUUCAAGCUAGAAGGAUAUACGGAUUCCGAUUGGGCGGGAGACAAAGUGGAUAGGAAGUCCACUUCCGGAGGGUGCCAAUUUCUUGGUUGCUCUUUGGUGAGUUGGUCUUCCAAGAAGCAAAGUUGUGUGUCUCUCUCGUCCACCGAAGCGUAGUAUGUGGCGGCCGGUAGUAGUUGUGCACAACUCUUAUGGAUGAGGCAAACUUUAAAGGAGUACGGUGUCAUUUGUGACAAAGUGCCUCUUUGGUGUGACAAUGAAAGUGCCAUCAAGAUUUCUCUCAACCCGGUGCAACACUUCAAGACAAAGCAUAUUGAGAUUCGGUAUCACUUCAUCCAGGAUCAUAUUAGGUGAGGGGAGAUCGAGCUCAAGUAUGUCAAAACUCAUGAUAACCUUGCAGAUAUUUUCAUGAAGCCCUUGGAUGAAGAAAGAUUUCGUGAGUUAAGGCAUGAGCUAAAUAUCAUUGAUUCAAGCAACGUGACUUGAACCCUUGCACACCCUACCACACUCAAUUUGUUGUCUAGUUUAGGUGUAGGCAUGGACAUAGGGGGAGUAUUGUUCUCUCAAUGAACUCUCCCUCCCCCCAUUAUGCAUAAAUUGAUCAACUCUUUCACAUUCGCCAUUCUUUAUGGUACUUGUGCUUCAAAGACGAGUUUUGGUCAUGGGCCUAAGGAUAAUUCUUCGCGGCGCCAUACCAAUCGACUCAAACAUAGGUGGCUCCGGUCACCGCCCUCUCCUUGGAGAGGUUGGUUCUCGUUUUUUUGUCCUUGUUGUCUCUUGUUUUUUUCUCUCUUCGUGCCUAGCUUGUGCUUGUGGUGCCUAGUUUUGCAGCUCGUUGGUGUGUGUUCAUUCGCUUGGAGGUUUUGUGCAAAGUUGUUUCUUCCUUUGGCUGGAACUGCAUUUUCUUGGGUUCACGGUACUACCGUGGCAUGCCACGGUACUACCUGAGGACACGGUACUACCGCAACCAUCACAGCGGUAAUUUUUAACUGUCGCUGGUGGAGCAGUACUACCGCCCACGGCGCGGUACUUCCGCCCGGGCGGUACUACCGCGAGGACGCGCGUUACUACCAUAGAGUAGCAAGCGCGUUGGGGUUAAGAGCGGGUAGGGGGAGUUAAAACUCCCCCAUACCCAUUAACUCUUUCUUCCCCAUGCCGCCUCUCUCUCUCCUGCCCACGAACUGCGCCGGAUGCCCUCGCCGGAUCUCCGUCCCCGUCCACUCUCCUCGGAUUCCGACUGGUGGGAUUGUUCCCCACCACGUCCCCUUGCCAUGGACCAAGGUUUCUCCCCAAAUCCAUCUCUUGUUGGUUUGUUCUUUUGUUUCUAGGUCUUCGGGGAGAUGCAUGUGGUUCUUGAGAUUUUAGGCUAAAUUUGUCCAAGAGUAGGAUGUCGGGGAGUAGUAAUGCAUUGAGAUAGUACUUGAUAUGUUGCCCCGUGUUUAGUUCCGCACGACCAAGCAGUGCUACCAUUUGUGUCAAAUCUCUCAUGUGGAAAUUAUCAAGUGCGAGUUCUACUUAUUUCCAUGCUUUGUUGCGUUUUUGCACUAAACCUUCUUGUGUCUCUUGCGUGUUUGCUUUGUGGUGUGUGGCUCAGGUGCUCCUGCUCGCCGUUCCAAUCCAAGUCGUGACACGGGCUCCAAGCGUCUGCGCAAUCAACAUGAAGCUCUUGAGGGCUCCAGUGGCCCCCAACGUAGAACCAAGACCACCGCCACAAAGGACACGGAACCCAAUAUGGGUAUGGAUGAGAUACCACUUGCUGAGUUCAUCUCUUGACAGAAGAUCAAUCCCUAUGUGAACCCUUGUGCCAACUUUUGAGGGAAUGAGCUGUUCUGGAGCAAGCAGCAGAAUCUCAUUUAUCUGAAUGUAAUCAAGGCCAAGCGCAACAUCUAUGUGGAUGUGCACUAGAUCGACAUGCAUCACAUGAGGGAAGAGAAGUACCGGGACUACUUUGGUGAGGCUCUGGAUCUUAUUGAGCAGUUUGGCAUUGAGAAUAUCAUCUCUUUUCACAAAGACUAUGAUCCUGAGAUUGUGGCUCAGUUCUUUGCAUUGGUGUACUUUCAUCCUAAUGAGGACCGGACUAUGACUUGGAUGACCAAUGGUCGGCAGCUGACUGCUACAUGGAAGGAGUUCAUGACUUUGCUUGGUGUUCCGAAUGAGGGGCUCACCACACCCCAAGGUGUUCGUCCUCAUGCUAAUCCAGAGUCAGCCAACAAGAAUAAGCUUCAGCCCUUCUUUAUUGAGAAGAAGCUCUCCAGUGGCAAGUCAUCUUGGGUGCUCAACUCAUUCUUGGACAUCAUGUACCGGAUCUUCCACAACUCCCUCUUCCCGCGCAUUGGUGACAAGGACAAGGUGCAUGCUUACCUUGUGGACAUGCUGCUCUAGUGUGAGGAAGCGCGCAACUCUCAGACGCUACCACUUGAUAUCUCACAUAUCAUGUGGUGUGAGCUUCGGUUUGCGGUCUUCAACCGUAAGGUCCCCAUCUAUGGACCUUAUCUGUUUCAAUUGAUCUCAGCUACUUGGGAGAAGCUCUACCCUCAGGAUGACUUUGAGGCCCCUGAUUGGAUUCGGCAUGAGCCCAUCCGGCUCCUUGUCAAGACUCAGUGGGGUAACACCACUUCUCAUGCUGAGGCAGCGGCUGCCAUGGAUGUGGAUGCAGAUGAAGAUGAGGAGGAGUCAGCAGACGAGGAUAGCUCUGAGGGUUUCAUCCCUCCAACCUCUGAGCCAUCUUGGGCUAAGAGGCUGAAGAACAAGAUGAAGACCUUAUUCUGCAUGCAGGCAAAGGGGCGGUACAAGAAUCAUGUUGCCUCCAAGGAGAGUCGCCGCCGCGACAAGAAGAUUAUGAGCCUCUUUGGAGAGGAUGUUUCUGGCGGCUCUGAGGACCGCAUCACUCCAGAGGCUGAGUGGAUCGCAAAACAAGGCUACUAGUGGACUGAUUCUGAGGAGGACGACAAGGAGACCGUUCCCGCUGCCGAGUCUGAGGAGGAGCAUGCGUCUGAUUACUCCGCUUGAGCCACCACUUGUGUUGUAGGUGUCCUCUCUUCAUUUUUGGCGUCUCGAUGCCAAAGGGGGAGAGAGUGUAGGGAUUUGGGAGUCUUGUGUCGUGCGUGUGUUUGCUUUGCUCGCGUUUGUUCCAUUGAACCCUGCUUGCUUUGGUUUAGUUUUCUCAUGAGACCUGGUCUAUCAUAUGGUGUAAGACAUAUGCACCCUAUCGUACCUUACUUGAGCUUAUGUUAUACUGUGCUAGUUAUGUUAUGCUCAUAUUUAUCAUAUUGUCUAGUGUUAGCCUUAUUGUUGCCAAUAUGCCUUGUUUACAAAAUAUAGGGGGAGUGUUGAUCCUAGUAUACGUGUUGUGCAGUCCAAAGCACUUAUCUAGAUAGAACACAUCUAGGGGGAGCUCGUCUAUAUUUUGGAGUUGUGGGGUUUGCAUAUGUUCUAUAUUGUUUCCCUUUGUGCAAAUCCCGUAUUGUCAUCAAUCCACCAAAAAGGGGGAGAUUGUAAGGGCAUAUUUAUCCCUAAGGUGUUUUGGUGAUUGAUGACAAUGCUUUUGCAGACUAAUCAUGUGCCUUGAGUUUCUCAGACAAUUCGUCACUAGGCACAAGAUGGUUUAGUGCCCCUCGAAGACUAUUGAAGACGGCGUUUUUCUACGGUUCUUUUAGGUGGUGUGAGUCAUAGGAAAGCCGUACUAUUAAGAGGGGCUCCGCGUUGGAAAGGUUCGGGUGGAAUCAUCACGUACACAUUUUUAUUCCUUUACACCGCCUUUCCCUCUGCGCUUUGGAGCAUCCUCCAUUUUCUUCAUUUUUUCAAAAAGAAGGAUUCCUAGUGUUGUUGUUCUGAGGCAUGUGGUAGUACUGCUCUUAGGAGCGGUAGUACCACAGGCCCCCACGGUAGUACCACCCGCCGUUGCGGUAGUACCUAGGUGCCCACGGUAGUACUGCUCUUAAGGAGCGGUAGUACCGUGGCCUCGGACCCGACCCAGCCACUCGUGCGGCUGUAGGGGCGGAUGUAAUUUUUCACAUCCGCGCCCCUGCGCGGUAGUACCGCCCCAUGCGCGCGGUAGUACCGUGGGUCCUGAUCUAGCACAGCAACACGAGCGGAAGUAUGGGUGGAUGUAAUUUUUUACAUCUGCUCCCUGCGUGGUAAUACCGCACGUCAGGUGCGUUAGUACCGUGUCGGAUUUUUGCACAAUCUGAUUUUCAGCGGAAGUAGGCACAGAUGUAUUUUUAUUCAUCAGCACCCUUCCCAGGCUAGUCCAUUCUAGCCUUGCGGUAGUACUGCAAGGGGGAGCGGUAGUACCACUCUCAACCCUUGCGGCUCUGGCCUGGACUAACACCUGCAGUAGCAGCGGUAGUACCACGGGACACCGCGAUAGUACCGUGAGCCCUUGCGGUAGUACCGCUUGUUUGGGGCGGUAGUACCGCAAGUCACGGGCUGGCUAAGUGGAUAACGGUUGGAUUUGUCUCUUCACUAUAUAAGGGGUGUCUUCUUCCUCUAGUUGACCACCUCUUCCCCCAAAAGCUCCAUUGUUGCUCCAAGCUCCAUUUUCACCUGAUCUCUCUCCCUAGCCAAUCAAACUUGUUGAUUUGCUCAGGAUUGUUUGAGAAGGCCCCGAUCUACACUCCCACCAAGAGAAAUUUGAUUCCCCCACUAAUCCCUAGCGGAUCUUGUUACUCUUGGGUGUUUGAGCACCCUAGACGGUUGAGGUCACCGCGGAGCCAUAGUCCAUUGUGGUGAAGCUUCGUGGUGUCGUUGGGAGCCUCCAAUUAAGUUGUGGAGAUAGCCCCAACCUUGUUUGUAAAGGUUCGGUCGCCGCCUUCAAGGGCACCAAUAGUGGAAUCACGACAUCUCACAUUGUGUGAGGGCGUGAGGAGAAUACGGUGGCCCUAGUGGCUUCUUGGGGAGCAUUGUGCCUCCACAGCGCUCUAACGGAGACGUACUUCCCCUCAAAAGGAAGGAACUUCGGUAACACAUCCUCGUCUCCAACGGCUCCACUCUUGGUUAUCUCGUGCCUUUACUUGUGCAAGCUUAUUUGUGUUGUAUCCCUUGCUUGGUUGUGCACUUGUUGUUUGUUGCAUCAUAUAGGUUGCUCACCUAGUUGCAUAUCUAGACAACCUACUUUGAUGCAAAGUUUAAUUUGAUAAAGAAAAUCGAAAAAUUGUUAGUUGCCUAUUCACCCCCCUCCUCUAGUCAACUAUAUCGAUCCUUUCACCCUUCUUGCGACAAAAACACAAUGCGGUUAUGUCUCUAAGUCGUGCCUCGACACGUGGGAGAUAUAGCCGCAUCAUGGGCGUUACACCAUGUGAAUAUGAUGGUACCAUGAAUAAGCAUCCAUGAUGCUUACAAGCUCGCACCCUACCCUCGAGUAGACCAGUUGGUCGAUUCCAGGGAGCGGGUAAGUCGUCAUUUGGGCAUGCUUUGUUGAACUCGGUGAAGUCCAUGCACAUGCUCCAUUUUCCAUUUGCCUUCAGGACCAACAUGGGUUGGACAGCCAGUCCGAGUGAUAGACGUGGAGGAUGAUGCCCGCUUACACAAACUUUUCCACCUCGAUCUCGAUGACUCCGAGCCAUUUGGUGACAAUUUGCAUGGCUUUUGCUUGACAGGUGUGUGUUCUAGCUUCAUGGCGAGGCAAUGUUCCUUCACUUCUCGGGGCACUCCUCUCAUGUAGGUUGGUGAUUAGGCGAAGAUAUCCACAUUUUGGCUGUGAAUGGAAACAAGGGAGGCCUCUAUCUCUGGAAGGAGGUCGGAACCGAUUCAGGCUGAGCGUGGGUCGUCUCCGCUAAAGAGGUUAACGCUCUUUAGUUCUCCCUCAGGUUGCGACUUUCAAGCAUAUGCCUUCAUGGCCUCAAUGGUGUCCCCUCUAACAUUGAGACUCCAGCCUUCCUUCCCUAUCCGUCGUUAGCAUGUGGAUGCGAUGAGCAACCACCUUGGGCGGCGAGGUGAGCUUCUCCUACCAGAUUUUGUAGGGUAACUUCGGAGGUAGCUAUCUGUGCUUCCUAGAUGUGGAGUAUCUUUCGGUCGAUGGAUGGCUUGCCCCACACGAUGAUGACUCCUUGAGGCUCGGGGAUCUUCAAGCACAGGUAGUUGUGGUGGACAACGACAUUGAAAUGAUGUAGGGUGGCAUGCCCUAUGACGGCGUUGAAGGAGGGCUCCAGAUCCACCUCAUCAAAGCGGCCCUUUUCCAUGUGAUGAUCGCCUUAUCUCCGAAUAUCAUAAGGAGCUUGAUCUAUCCCAAGGGUUGAAUGGAUCUCUCUGGCAGAAAGCUUGUGAGGGGGGUAAAGAGAAAGCUCCAAAGUGCCUUCUGAGUAUCAGCCUCGAGGUUCUAGAAGCUUCUUUGGCGUGCCCAUGUAUAGGAUAUGUAUCAAGCUUAUGCCAUCGACGAGGAUCCUGGAAAGAUGGCAGUUGUCGAUGGUGGAGGUGAAGAACAAGGCAUCAUCAUGGGGAAAGCAGAUUCCCUUGACAUCUUUUGCAUUGAAUGAGAUGGGGAUCUCAGCCCACUUGGGGCUGGAGUGGGAGCUAGGGCCCGUGCAAUGUCCACUUCACACACAUACUCCUUGUGGGUCCUCUUCAAUCCUUGUCCUGACACUAAGCCUCCGAGGAUGACGUUCACCACAUGCCCUUCUGGCUGAAAAGGGAGCUCAGCGGCUCUCAGGGUGGGUCGGUUCAUGACCACGAUGGCAUUGGCUCCGACCUGUCGAGAGGUGCCCUUUGAGAGGCUAAGGCUUGGUUGUCCUGUGGAGGCCACCCACCCUAAUGUUUGGGUGGAGCACCAAGGUCUGGACAGUCACUGGUCCAAUGGUUUGUGCUCUUGUGGAUCAAGGACCAGGUGGUGUUGGGGUCUAGUGGGUGCCCGUUCUCCCCUGGUCUGUCGAGGGGUGCCAUGCCUAUGGUGGCAUCCUCAAUUGCCAUGUCAUGUUGCCCUAACAGUUGCGCCUUGCUUGUCGAACGACUUUGUCCCUUGCCUCCCUUGUCUUGGCCUUGAGUUUGCCCUUCGUGUGAGAGGGUCUCUGCUCGCUUCUUGCAGCGGUCUCUGUCCUCGCCCCUUGCGCACUCUUCCACCAUGUCAAAGAGGUGCUCUACUAUGCGCGGGGGACGACGGCUGAGGGCCCGGUUUAGCUCUCCCUGCAACAAGGCUUGGCGAAAGGCGUGGAUGACAGUGGAGUCGGGGUAUUAGGUGAUCUGGCUCCUGACCCCCGAGAAUCUUUUGAAGUAAUGGAUGGAGUCUCAUGUCUUCUGUUGAAGGAGGAACAACACACUCGACAUAAGCGGAUGCACGUAGUUUCCUUGAAAGUUGUCCACCGAGGCCUCUUGGAGUCACUCCCAUAAGCAGAUGGAACCCUUCCUCAAGUUGAAGAACCAUGUAUGUGCGAUCCCGGAGAGCCCGAAUGGGAAGAGGUUGCACAUCUCCAUGGGGCCGCCUCCUGCUGCUCAGAUUGUAGUGGGGUACACCUUCGGGAACUACAAAGGAUCGGAGCCCCCGGAGAAAGCCUUGAUGUAGGGUUGCUUAAACUUGAAGGGGAAGGGCGCCUCCCUUAUUUCCGUCAAGAGGGCGUUGCAAGACUCCAUUUGUACUCUAUGGCGACGAUGUCGGUGCCAUGGGAGUCAUCACUUUCUCUGUUGGAAGGCCCCUCGAGAGUGGCUCCACUCUCUCCUGGUGGAGCGACUCCAAGAGGCCUUCGUGGACAACUUUUAUGCAUUAGUCUCUUGUUGGAGGCAUCUCAAAGUACUCCUGACGUGGCCUGAGUGCGCUCAUCAUGCUCCAUGCAGGCUUGGCUUUCCAAAGGUGACUCUCUUGUUCAUCCCCCUAAGGCAAGUGUCUCCUGCCUGCAUUGCUCCCGGCGGCCCUCUUGUGUAUGGCAGGAUCACGGUGAGGCGUGGUCCCCAAUACGGGUGGGGCCAUGGGGCCACGGCAGGCGGAAAAACUGUCGGAGGGUGUAGGCGGCAUAAAGCGGAGGUCCCCAACCGAAGUCAAUUCCCUUGUAGUUCGUCUGGAGUGGUUGUGACGUCGGUGGGGUUUGAGUUGGAUGCUCUCCCAUAUUGUCGGGGGUGAACACCCUGGUCUUGGACCGAUGCCAACAACGUCAUCUUGGAGCUAGGCGAGCCAAGCUCGGAUGGAGUAGAUGUUGACAUCCGGCACACUGACAGCACUUUCAAGUCCAUAUCAAUGGAGCACGGGUCCUGUAUGGCCUUCGGCAGGGCGAAGCUUCCUACAGUGAGGUGGCCUUCGGCCCCCGUACUUAAGGUAGUUCCGGCAUGGGUGCUGAGGUUUUCGGAGUGGUGAAUCCUUUGUUGGGGGCGACGGUGUUUGGGGCUUCCUCGACUACUACGUCAAGGAUGCGGUCACCGUGUGCUUCGGGCUCCAAUGUUGACAUGGAAGAAUCAACUUUCCAAUAGGGUAUCCUUAGUAGCUUUGCCAAAAAUUAGUGUGGGUGUGUACGAGCUUAUGUAAAAGGUUGUCGUACACUCGAUAAAGUGGCACAUCAAUGUUUUUUAGAUAGGUUCAGUCGCCUCAUGGGAACAUAAUCUACGUCCUAUGGGAGGGUUGGCAAGAGUGGUGCCCGAGGCACAACGCACUUGGAGUGUGGCUGUUUUCGAAGUCCCACGACUCCUGACUAGUCCGAGCCUUACAAGGUCCCUCAGACUCCGAGUUGUUGCCUCCGUUUGCCCUCUUGAAGGGGGAUUGGAAGGAGGAGAGUGACCCUCCACUUGAGAGUAUUCAAGUGAGAGUGAGUUGGUUACAUGCCCAUGGGGGCUUUAUAUAGCCUAGGGGUUCUUGACAAAUGACCAAGGGUAGUCUUCAAGUAUAAACGUGGGAGGGUAAAACUAGGUAAUUUUCCGCCCUUUAGUGGGACAAACCCUAAAGCAAGUGAACCCUUCUUUCUUGGGCUCGGGCCCCUUUGCCCUCUUGCCUUCUUCUUUUACUUAUUCUUUUAUGUGGUCUUCUCCCUUUUGACUGACUUUGAUUGAUCAUGGCUAGUGAUGUGUCAUUCCAUGUGGGACAGGGGUGGAACCUUAAGUAGGGUUAAAAUCCACUACCAACAUGUACUGAUAUACUCCGCCUCCAUCUUAUGGUAUCUUAUUUGCCGGAAAAAUAAGGUUGAAACUUAGUGAGCCAUACUAUUGUUAUGUCUCCAUGGCCUCUCCACACCUCAACGGGUUACAAUCAGGGCACAUCACCUUGCCUCUUUUUAUCCAUUUUGGAGCCUCCUUGACCCCAAACUCCUAGAUUUGCUGCACAAUGCGCCUGCUGGUAUCAUCAAAGUAGUCUUCGAGCUUAUCAAAGUACUCCCACCACUAUGCUUAAUCUCCUCAUUCUUCACUAGGAGCAUCAGCUCCGUUGUUGAUGCAUUUGACUUGGUUGAUAUCCCUCAACUUCCUCUUUGGGAUCUUGGUCAUCUUAUAGAUGUCCCUUUCUCCUUAUUUCGUGUCUAAGCACUGGUAAAGGUCCUCAUACACCUGACCUCUUAGGGCCAGUUUUUUUGGUAGCUUUUUUGGGCUUCUAGAAUAAGCUUUAAUUAGUAGGCUUCUAAAAGACAAAUUUGGUUGGGCUUCUAGAAUAAGCUGGGUAGGGGGCAGCUUAUUCUAGAAGCCACCAAAAGAACAGGCCCUUAAUUCACUCACAGCUUGCUUUGCGAUCUUCUUUGCCACCUUGUAUUUCUCUAUGUGUUUUGCACUCCUAUGUAGGUGUAGGUGUCUAAAACAGACUUUCUUCCCUUUAAUAGUCUUCUGGACAUCACUGUUCCACCACAAGGUACCUUUAGCUUUGCUUCUAUACUUUCCCUGGCCACUCCAAACUCCUCUGAAGCCAUCUUAUGAAUGCAAAGUUAUGAGUGAUGUGGAGUUGUGCGUGGGCACUCCUUUGGGCAUUAUGGCACAUUCAAAAUAAAUUAACCAUUGAAGGCAUCUUCACGUCGCAUACGGCUAAUGUUAUCUUCAAAUACAACCUUUUUUACAGUAGUGGAGUUCGUUGAGGAGGCGAAAGGAUUCUGAGUUGAUGCAGCAUGUCCAAGAAAGAUUCAAGCAAGUAUACGCGUUCGCUAGGGAGCCUGCAGCCACCGCCUAGGGAGUGUGGCUACUUUUGUCACCGCGAGCCUGCAUGCUUUGUUUUGGCUUGUUGGUCAUGUAAUGUCCUCUGCCUUUUGGCUUAGAACCUUGUAUGUCUCAUGCGUGGUCCGAGGGGCUUUUGGUCUGAGGACUAUUACUAUUACUCUACCUAGUUGUGGGCUUUAUUAAUUUAAAGCUGGAAGCCUCCGUUCUAAAAAAAUGCAAAAUCGUCAUCUUCGUCUACAUAUUGGUUGCAUCGCCUUCUUCCUCCCAAUGGCCCUCCUUAAUGAUCCUCUCCUUAAAAGUCUGAGCCUUUGUGGUUCUAUCAUUUCAUUCUACUGUCUUUGGUGUGCCUUUCCUGCUGGACACGGUUCUGAAAGCAAAAGUCAGCCAACAUAAGCUUAUGUUCAGGGACAACACUCUCCAUGUAUCACCUACAAUCUAGGCAAGCACGCAUGUCUUCUCUUCUCGAGAGGAUGAAAUCAAUCUAGCUAGAGUGUUGAACACUAUUAAAAGUCACUAGGUACUAUUCUCUCUUUUUAAAGAGGGUGUUAGCCUACGAUCAUGUCGUAGGGUAGAGCAAAGCUUAAGACAUCUUCUCCUUCUUGAUUCUUGAUGCCAUAGCGAAAGCCCCUAUGCACUCCUUCAAAACCUGCGUUAGAUGUACCAUGUGGUCAUUGAGGUCUCUUCCUAUGAAGAGUUUCUCGCCAAUAGGUACACUCUUAGCCAUGUUCUCCAGGCCUUCCCAGAACUCAUUCUUGUUGUUCUCACUAUGGCCUACUUGCAGGACAUAUGCGCUGAUACCAUUGAGACCGAAUUCUCCAGCCACCAUCUUAAUGAGGAUAAUCUGGUCCCCUUGAAUCUUGACGUCUACUAUGCCAUACUUGACUCUUGUUUAUAGUCAAUGUCUUCCACCUCCUUCGCCUUCUAUCCCCUUAUUUGGUUUCCUGGACGCAAAGGAUAUCAACGCAUCUCCUCAUCAUUGUAUCAACUAGCUUCCUCAUGUAACUUACUUGUUAGGGACCUUACGUUCCAGCUACCUAAGUGGAUCUUACUCGGCUCGGCUAGCUUUCUUACCUUUCGCACUCGUCAAGUCAAAUGUGAGGACCCUUGCUCGGCUCAUUUUCACUACACCGAGACAUUGGCUAUUGUGGUCUUCAAAGCUUGCGUCUUAAGGAAUGAGUGGCUACUAUGAUCUUCAAAGCCUAGUAUGGAGAGAGUAAUGGCUACUGGGGUCUUCAGAGCUUUCGUCUUAAAGGUUCAGUAGCUAUUGUGGUCUUCAGAGCUUUCUCCUUAUACAACAUUGCAUGCGAUAAGAAUAAUACUAUUGCGCAAGUGCUCAGCUCAUCCCCGCCAAAUAUUUCGUUCAGGCGGGAUUUGAUCGGCACCCGACUUAUGUCAUGGAAUAAUCUAUUGUCCCGUCUGGAUUCGAUUAUCCUGACACAAGGUCGUGAUGUGUUUCGCUGGAACCUUACUACAUCGGGGUCUUUCACAGUAGACUCUAUGUAUCGUGCACUCACGCAUUCUGAGGUACCAGUGAAUAAUAACAAAAAAAAUUGGAAAGCGAAGGUACCACUUAAAGUCAAAAUAUUCAUGUGGUAUCUCCGUAGGGGAGUUGUGCUAACAAAAGACAACCUUGCACGACGCAACUGGUCGGGAAGUAAGAAGUGUUGUUUUUGUACUCACGACAAGACAAUUAAACACCUCUUUUUUCACUGUAAGUUUGUGCGUUCUACGUGGUCAGCCAUCCAAAUAGCCUCAAAUUUGUAUCCGUCCACAAGUGUUGUCAAUAUUUUUGGUCAUUGGCUGGACGGUAUUUCAAAUAGGUACAAAACACUAAUAAGGGUGGGAGCGUAUGCCUUACUAUGGUCGCUUUGGCUAUGUAGAAAUGAUGUUGUUUUUAAUGACAAAAUUGUUUCUCCUUUGCAGGUUAUUUUCCGUUGUACGCACUCGCUUCGUACGUGGUGUUCGCUACAACAAACGGAGUACCAAUCGUUGUUCAAGGCGGUGUGUACGCUGUUGGAGCAGGUGGCUACGGAGGUUUUUACCCAACGUGGAUGGCAGCAUAAUCUCCGGCUCGGUCCACCAUCUUUUUCGACAUAGGCAUAGUGUCGGUCUAUGAACUCUACUAUCGCCGAAUUGUCGGUCUUUUAUCUUUCUAUUUAUCAGACUACUGAUGUUUGGUUGUGUGCAUCCUAAUUAUGCAGAGGCCGGGUGAUACUCUUAAUGCUUUGUAUCACUUUGAUGCUACAUUUUAAGAUAAUAAAAACGUCAUUUAUCCAAAAAAAAAGGUAUUGUGGUCUACUAAGCCUUGUAUGAUGAGAGCGUUUACACAUGUCUAUUUUAUUUACAAUUGGUCCAGUGCAACUUUUUAUCUCCAACAGACAGCGCCACAACCGAUCUUCAAAGCCUAAUAUGAUGUGCGCAUUUGCAUGUGUCUACUCCCUCUGUACCAGCAACGACAACUAUUUCGGUACAGAGGGAGUAUUUUAUUUUCCAUUGGUCACUGGUCUAAUGCAAUUUUUAAUAUGCCGAGUGCGUUUGCAUAUGUAUUUUCUUUAGAAUUGUCGAGUGCAAUCUUUAAUCCCCUUCCACUGAAAGUGUAUCACCGAAAAUCCUGAUAUAAAUUUAGAAAUAAUGCGAGCACCAGGACUUGAACCCUCAUGGGUUGGGAUACCACUAGGAUAUCACUUCGUUCAUUGUAUUGUCUAUUGUUUUCCUUCAUAAAUAUGGUGUUAUUGUCUAAGAAAAAUAUACCAGAAAAAGGAAAAGCUUGCUCUGAGGCUGUUAUUGUCUUACCAUAGUAGGUGGUUAAACAUUGAGAACACCACACCACACACACGAGAAUUUACACAUGGAGCGUACACAAAGUACACACAUACACACCCAUCACUCGCUAGCAUGCAGUGAGCAGACCGGGAUAAGAAAAGAAAGUUACAAGCACUAGUAGACAGUAGUACGAAGCUCAAGACAAACCACAUGCAGCCUCGGACGGCAACGUACGCUAUGCAGGAUUAGAUAACCAAAAGAGCAGCAAACAUGGCGGCGUCGCAGAAGUUGUUGAGCACCCUCUCUUCUUCUUCGGCCGACGGCUCUUAUUUAGCGGUGGUUGCUCCUGGUCCUGGUCUCGUCGCUGUAAAGCCUGGACAUGGAACGUACGUGGCAGCGUUAUUUUUUUCCCCAUGUUUUAACUAUUUGCCAUGUUCACCCGUUUCAAGUUCCCAGUAGAUCGUGUUAUUAACACUGAUAUUAUAUUGUGAGAUAGAUCAUGAGCCAGCGUACCAGUCGUAGACGGUGGGGGAGUUGGGCUGCGGGCGGUCGAAGAGGUUGGCGCCGAGGCUUUUGGUGGCCAGGUUGCUCCCGGGGUGGAAAACGCUCCGCCACACGCUGCCGCCGCGCGGGGGCGUCGACGACGACGGCGUCACCGGCGUGGUCGGGGUCGUCGGCAUCGACGGCGACUGCUUAAUCGCCUCCCCUGCAGCUGCACCUCCACCAACACCCAUGUAAACCACCAUCAGUUCACACAAUGAACCCAAUAGAUCCUCCGCUUAAACAUCAAAUCUUCUUCUGAAAACCACUGGUGCUAGACUGACCGCUAGUUCUUACGUUCUUCCAGUUUCAGGCCAUGUCGGUACCUCUGUGCUAACGUAUGUAAACUGUACCUG
RNAcentral lists this long non-coding RNA (49623 nucleotides) under Triticum aestivum (bread wheat). RNAcentral describes it as "long non-coding RNA (TAES_LNC002806)". Lineage: Eukaryota; Viridiplantae; Streptophyta; Magnoliopsida; Poales; Poaceae. The record is from RNAcentral.